Molecule: long non-coding RNA, 83744 nt
Filed under: Ananas comosus (pineapple)
Lineage: Eukaryota; Viridiplantae; Streptophyta; Magnoliopsida; Poales; Bromeliaceae
Description: long non-coding RNA (ACOM_LNC004227)
Source: RNAcentral
GCGCUCCCCCUCUCCUCGCCGCCGCAGCUACCCCUCCACCGGUGCCGCGCGGCGGCGGAGGCCUCGGACGCCGCCGCCGACCCCUCCGACUGGUUCCGGCCCCGGCGGUCGCCGGAGCCCGACGCGAGGAUCGCGGCGCGCGACCCCGGCGUCCGCGUGAACGCCAAGGAGGAGGCCAAGGACGGGGGCGGGGGGCGGAAGCAGAAGAAGAAGUGGUGGUGGUGGUCUCGCGAUCGCGAGAGCUACCUCGCAGACGACUCCGACGCGCUACCGCUCCCCAUGACCUACCCCAACUCCUCCCCGGCUCCGCCCGAGGAGAUCGAUCGCCGCCUCAAUUGCGAUCCCGAAGUUGAGGUUAGUAGUCACCGAAUCCAUCUACCGGCUAGGUUAGGGUUCUUGUCCGUGUUCAUGUGUUUUGAUCGUGGUUUGAUUUGCCUUCAAUGUGAAAGGAUUGUAAAGAGGUGGUGUAUGAGUGGACGGGGAAGUGUAGGAGUUGCCAGGGGACGGGAUUUGUGAGCUAUUAUAACAAGAAGGGGAAGGAGACCAUCUGCAAAUGUGUUCCUUGUCUUGGAAUUGGUAUGCUUCAUUUCUCCUCCUACAAGUUACUUUAUUUUGUUGGGUUUUGUAGAAAUUGGUAGUUAUCUUAUGGCAUCCAAAACUAUGAUUUGUUUAUGCUACAUUGUUUAGCACAAUCACUUCUUUAUAAGUGUAUUGGUUGCUGGAGAUGUGGCAAAGACUAAUUCGUUGUUUCAAAGUCCGUAGUAGGACAGAUGCAGAGCAGUGGUUUAUGAAGGAAAAAGAAAAUUAUAAGUAUCUUCAAAAUAAACAGUUUACCAACCUACAUUCAUCAGGGGAAAGGGUAAAUUGCUCCAGGGGUUUCAAACUUUUAAAGUGGCUUUAGUUUGAAAGUUGUUACAAUUGUUUCGUUCGUGAUCCUACCUGCUGAAAAAAUAGUCUCUUUUUAAUAGAAAAUUAGAAAUUUGAUCAACUAAUGAGCAAUGAGAGAUUUUUAAUAUGGAAGUUACGCACAUAUGUUUGUGGCUUCUGCACUAUGCACUGCCUUGGCUAUUUUGUGGGUACAUUUUGGAAUUUGGGCGUUCAGUGAAAACAACUAUAAAUAAUCAGCAUUUUCUACCAGAAAUUUCUUGCCAUUCUGCAUCAUGCCAAAUUUGGUUUAUGCUGAGUGAAGCUUGUGCCAAGUUGCAAUUCGAGGCUUGUGGUCAAGUUCUGUGGUUAGCUAUGGCUUCUCAAAUCCUUUGGCCAACAAGCUGAUGGAUCUAAUGUACAAACAUUUGUGAAGUUGUUUGGAUGGAGCAAAUUUUUGAAGUGGAUUUGGCCAUGUGCAUGUCAGUUAUUGAUUUUGUGGCAUUGGCUUUCUGCUGUGCUUGCAUUUCAGAAUUUUUAAAUUCUUUAUUCUAUCAUUAUUCUUAAAUAAAUUUGCUUAAUCAUUAAUUUCUGAUCUUCAAUCAUAUGUUUAACCAACCUGUUCUCAGUAUAUUAAUUUUUUCUGUUGAAGACAACUGAAAUGAGCAGAUCACUAAAUUGUGCUAUUAGCUGAUUGUAGAAUUCAAGUUUUAGUUUUUGAUCAGUUUUUGGUGAUAGUUUGUUCUGGGCCUGUUGGUUGCUUUCUUUUCUUAUAGUACAAUAAAACGCCAUCUUCUUUAAUCAUAGGGAGAGAUAUAUGUUUUUUUUUUUUUUUAAUUCUGAAUGAAAUGUAACUGUUUAAUUGUUUGUUUGAAAUUAAUCAGUCAUACUCAAUACUCAUUUGUACAGCCACAACAUUUUACUGAGCUGUUAUAAUAUAGACAUGUACCAGAAAACAAAUUGUGCAUUGAUGAGUUACCAAAAUUUUUGUGAAUUCCAAUAUGGAUCGGGAUGGGCUCCACUUUUAUGCUCAAUUCCUCAUGUGUUUAUAAUACAUUGUGAACUUUUGUAUGUCGAUCUCCAUGGUAGGCAUUGUCUUUCAAGUUAACGUUUUAUUUUGCCAGAAUCUGGAACUAUUUCACCUCUUUCAUUGUUUGUUGCUUCUGUGGAAACUGAUUUUGCUCUAAUGGCAUAUUAGUUAGUACAACAGGAUACUUUAGAGCCACUGAGGCUCAAAUAGUCUAUCAGGUAGUCUUUCUGGUGCAGUUGCAAUAGCUCACAUUGAUUCAAUUUAAAUAUAAGCAUCUGGUGCAAAAACAACUUUGCGUCCUGUCAACCCGAAAGAGUGCCUCAAAAUAUUGGUUUUAGUUAGAGAUAAGAGAAAGCUCAUCCUAAUUCUUUGAUCAUCUUGUUAGCGGUGCUUUUUCUUGUUGAUCAUGUUGUAUAUUUUUGAGGAAGAAAUAAUAAAAUUUUUUGAGGGGAUUGACUAAGUCAUAUCUUUUUUUAGCUUCUGUUUUAAGUGUUUUGUCUCCCUGAUAUAGUUAAUUAACCUUUUAGCUUUCAUCUAUGUUUUGUUUCUUUCCUGGCAUGUUAGCAUAUCUCAUCCGCCUUUUUAUUGCUAUCUUUUACAUCUUUAUUUCUUGUUCUUUUUGUUUCGUUCUCGAUAACAUAGGGAUGAACAGGUUCUGGAUUCCUCUUUGUUAGUUCCUAAUGAAUCGCUUUUGCUGUUGGUUCUUCAGGCUAUGUCCAGAAAUUUACAGUCCGCAAGGACAUUGAUGUGAUGGAAGACCUAGACAAAGGCAACGGGAAACCUCCUUAAUUGCUGCUCCGAUUCUUCUCUCUUGCUGUUGAUCGGUAAGUUUUGGUUAGUGAUCCUUACAAUUUUCAAGAGCACGAGUGUUGCAAUAUUUUCUCAUUGCAGGGAAUCGUUCUCUUUUUGUACUCAAUUUUGUAAUAACAAUUUAUACCGCAACUACUCGCCUACAGUUUCUUACGGCCUCUCUGUUGUGGGAGCAUAAUUCCACGUUUAAUCUGUAGCAUACCUGUUGUGAUUGAGGAGCUGUAUACAUUUUAUGUUAUAUUUAAAGGGAAGCAAAUCAUUGAAGUUGAGGACAACUUUUUUUUGCUAAUAAAGAAAUUCUUACAUGUGUUCUUGGAUGUCACUAAUGAUCCCGCACAAUCUCUCGCCUUCUUAUAAUCUCUUGGUAUUUUAUCUAUCUUCCGCAUGUGUGUUGUCACGCCCCAGGGUCCCUUUUCAGUUUAAAAUAGGGCUAAACUCUUAACCCGGCUUAAGUAUUUUGGGUGGUGGCAAGGCCCAAGAGGUUAAGAGAGUUAAGCGUCCUAGGACGGGAGCAGUCCUAGGAUGGGUGACCCCCUGGGAAGUUGGGGUGUCACAUGUGUCGUGUAUGGGACUUUUUAUCGUGCAAUGUUUUGCACUGUGCCUUGCUCGGAAAUUCGGAAAAAAUACAAUCUAAGGUGUUGAAUGAGGGGAAAAUCCUAAUAUUUACUUGCAUUGUGUUUUAUUCACGCUAAAUCCUAAUAGUUUUUUGUAUGUGUAUUAAUAUAUUAUUAUUAUCGAAUAAUAUUCAAAUAUAAAUUCGAUUCCUAUUCGAAUUUGCCUAAAUAUCCAAUUGUAUCUGAACCUGUUUCUUAUCCUACAAAAAUUUAUUAUCCGAAAUAUAUAUCUAAAUCCCAAUUCAAAGCCCCAAAAAACAAACGUACCUGGCCGUUUUCACCGAUGGUUUUGAGGUACUCUCUCUCUCUCUCUCUCUCUCUCUCUCAUGCUUCUCAUUUUUAAACUCUUUGCAUCUAGCUUUUGAUGUAUGUUUCCACAACUCGGAGAAAUAAUUGCUUUUUCACUUAUAUGAUAGUUGAAUAAAAUAAUUUAUAUUUUUAUAAUGUAAUAUUUUUAUCAUAUGUAUGCCUUAUGAGUGUAUCAGUCUAUAUUAAAUGCCAUAAAUUUAUUAAUCACCGAUUUAUUCUUGUAUGGUUGCAAAAUUAUUGUACCAAAUCAAAUACAUUAAUGUAGUAUCAGUAAUAAUUUGAUCUACAAAAAUUAGAUUCUUGAUUAUGUUGAAAAAAAAUGUUGCCUAAAGCGAAGCACACAUUCCCUAUAAUUCAAAUGAGGAAUUCUUUCUAAGGAAAAGUUUCAUAUAUCCAAUAUUACUUUUAUUUUCAGAUAAUAGUGAAGCCUAAAUAUGCUAGAAGAUCUGGAAGUAUUAUUCCCGUUAGCUUCAUAGUCAAGAAGUACUUCUCUCUUUUAGAAAGGUGCAAAACUCCUCCUACUCCUACGUACUGAUAUGUUGGUCUAUACUGUUCGGAAUAAUCAGCAUGCUAGUAUAGCAACAGCCUUUAGAAGACAUUAAAUAUAUUAUAACAGUACUUUUAGAAAGCAAACAAAUCUAAUUAAUGUUGAUCCAAAGUUAUAGAGGAUGAUUCCCCAAUCCCCACAAUCUUUAGGGGUGAAUAUAUUCCAUGGAGUGUAACUUGUACUUGACAUACACUUAAUAUUAUGUUCCAUAUGUAGUAUUCGAUACAGUAUUAUGUAGAAAGACCGACCGUCUCUAGAGUAAGUGGUAAAGGAUUUGAUGGUUGAUACCCGAGAUUCCAAAUUCGAAUCCUAGUUGAUUCACAUUUCUAACUAAGUUUAUGUACUUUAUAUAGAAAGAAAAAAAAAAAAGUCAAAGAAAGGUAUAGAAAACUAACUUGAUAGCGAUUAGGGAUAAUUGGAUAACAUUGACCCUUACGAUCCCUUAUUUUUCCGACUAAUUACUCUGUUAGCUAGUACCUUGUGGUUCUUUUUUUUUCUUUUUUCUUUUUUGAGAGAUAGGUAGCAUGCUACCCGCUUCGUUUAUUUCAUUUAGAAAAAACUUAGCUGGAAAUGUGAAUCAACUAGGAUUCGAACUGGAGGCCUCGAAUAUCAACCACUAAGACUUUGCCACUCGCGCUAAGGACGGUCGGUUCUUGUGGUUCAAAUUUAAGUUAAACGAAGAAGGGGUUUUCUUGUGGUAAAUUACACCAGGGGUUUUCUUGGGGUAAAUUGCACCCAUUACGAUCCCUUAUUUUUCCGACUAAUUACUCUGUUAGCUAGUACCUUGUGGUUCUUUUUUUUUCUUUUUUUUUUUGAGAGAUAGGUAGCAUGCUACCCGCUUCGUUUAUUUCUUUUAGAAAAAACUUAGCUGGAAAUGUGAAUCAACUAGGAUUCGAACUGGAAGCCUCGAAUAUCAACCACUAAGACUUUGCCACUUGCACUAAGAACGGUCGGUCCUUGUGGUUCAAAUUUAAGUUAAACGAAGAAGGGGUUUCUUGUGGUAAAUUACACCAGGGGUUUUCUUGGGGUAAAUUGCACCACUAAUCGUGAAACUUUCCAUCAAGUUUAUUUUAAUCUUCAUACUUCCAAUUUCAACAAUUAGUGAUUCCUAAACUCUUCAAAGUGUUUCAAUUUAGUUUUUUCUUUUUUGUGGAUAUUAACUGUUAGAGAAUAAUUAUUACCUACAUCUAAUAUUAAAGAAUAGGGAUUAAAUUAAAGUAUUAUCAAGGCCUCAAAUGUUGAAAUAAAAAAUUUAAGGACCAAAAGAGAACUCGGACUCAAAGUCCAUAGAAUAGAGAGAGAGAGAGAGAGAGAGAGAUACCACCUGUUUUCCAUGUUUAACUUGACUCAACUGUACCAAUCGUUCCUAGCGUAAGCGACAAAGGACUUGAUGGUUGAUACCUAAAGUCCUAAGUUUGAAUUCUGGUUGAUUCAUAUUUGCAGCUAAAAUUUAUUUUUUAAAAAAUAAACGAAAUAGAUAGCAUGCUACAUUUCUCUCUCAAAAAAAAAAAAAUCUUGACUCAACUGUUUAUGGUCCAAAAGGUUUUGAAGCUUGCAGUUGAAUGAUUCUUGGCAUUGCUUCUUGCAGCUACUUGGCAGAGGAUACCAUUCCAAUUCUCAGUGACAUUGAUAGAAUUAGGCCUAGUUUGAUAAUGUGAUGAAACCGGCCAUUUCUAGAGCAAGUAGCAAAAGGUUUGGUGGUUGGUAUUCGAGACCCAAAUUUAAAUUCUAGUUAAUUCACAUUUCUAGCUAAGUUUAUUUCUAAAUAAAAUAGACGAAGCGGAUAGCUUGCUAUCUAUCUCAAAAAAAAAAAAAGAUAAAAGAUAAAAGAUAAUGUGAUGAAUAAAAAUAUAAUUAUCAUUAUGUAUAUCUCUCUAAAUUUAAAAAAAAAUCGUUUUCUCCCGUGAGUACUUUCCAUCAAAUAACUGUUACAAUCAUUAAAUGCCUAUUUUACCUCUUUUUAAAAUGCAUGAAUAACCCUCAACUACAGGCUAUUUCGAAGUAGCCUCAUCAACUGGUCUCUUGUUUAGUUAACAUUAUUUAAGUUUGUAUUAUUUUGAAUUAAGUUAUUCUAAUUAGUUAAGCAAAAUAUUUUAUUAAAUUUAGUGACUUUAAUAGCUAUUAGUUGUUAAUUUUUCUAAUUUUCUUGUGUUAAAUAGUGAUUACAAUUUUAAAUUUAAUGUAGUCGCUCAUAAAUUUAAUAUAAUUUACUUCAAUCAUGUUUAAAAAAAAUUAAAAAGUUAAGGUAUUAUAACAAAAAAAAUUGGCAUUUUGAAAUAUCCCUUCAACAUUAUUUUUUGGUUGAUACUCACCUAACUUUCAAUUUUAUGAUUUGAAUUUUUCUAGUUAGUUAAGUUGUUUUUUUUUAAAAAAAAUCAAUCACUCUAUUAACUAUUAGUUGUUAAUUAUUCUAACUUUAUUUGUUUAAAUAUGCUUAAAAUAUUAAAUUCAACAAAAUCACUUUUGAGUACCAAAAGGAUAUAAAUUUUGAAGGAGGUGCUUACGUGCUUUUCUUGAAAAGGAUAAUAUUCAAUAUGCUAUUCAAAACUUUAAAAAUAUCUUAUUUAUUUUCGUUUCGGAGAGCUGAAACAUUCCUGUUGAUUUUAAUAAAAUUUUUUCAAACAUCUCAAUUUCUGUGGCAACUACCAUAGUAAUUUUAUAAUAUAAAAAAAUACAAGUAUUUUACUUUUUUUUUUUUGGAUUUGAUACAGUAUAUAAAUAAUAUUUUUAGUCAUCAUAUUGUCAAACUAGGCUGUAGCACUAGUGAGACUAGGGAUGCAAAUAGAUCCGAGUUACUGGAGCUUCCGUCCCGAUCGAUCCCAAAUGAAACGAUAAAUGAGAAUAAAAAAAAAUUAAAAAAAAUGUAACUUGCUCUGAAUCCUCCCUAAUUUACCAAGUAAAGAAAGCGGGAGUUUUCUAAUCUAUCAAAAAUCUGUUUCCACCGUGAUUCCCUCAAAUAGAGUGGUAAGUGGGGACAAAAAUAAGAUUAAAAUAAAUCCGUUUCGAAUCCGUCCCGACUCCAAGAACAGUACGAAAGGUGGAAGAGGGGUCCUGCCUCCGGAUCGGCUCCCUUGGCAUCCCUAGGUGAGACCCACUUUCCGGCCACCCUAAACCCCUUUAUAAAUAGCUUAUACCCACUGCCAUGUGCUUUCGAGCACGAACUCGAGCAUUAAGUGAUCGUGAUCAGUGCUCUUUGGAUCAACUCUUAAUAGUUAUCCACUUUGCCAUUAACCAGCCAAAAUCAUGACCGAGGGGGAGUUCCGGGAAUGGCUCCGGCACAUCGACCGGAACAAGGACAGCCGAAUAAGCAUGAAGGAGUUGGCGGCGGGAUUGAAAGAAGCUGGGUUCGGUUUCAAAUGGUGGAGGGCAUGGCGGGCGAUGAAGAACGUCGACAAGGACCGUAGCGGCUACAUCGACACCGACUCAGAGAUUCGGGCCCUGAUGGAGCAUGCGAUGAAGCACUGGGGCUUCGUGAUCAGCAAAGCGAAGGAGUUACAGGACGUAGAUGUCUUGAUUUCGGAUGUUGGAGGGAAGAUGUAGAAGUUAGUUUGCAGUAUUUUGGUUUUUCUGUCUUUGCUUUUUUGUCCUUUUCCUCCAUAUGUAUAAAUCAGUUCGCAGUAUGGUUUUUACACCUUUUUAAGUAGUAAAAACAAUGUUUAGUUUGUAGGAUGAUUUUUCUUCUUUUGUGUGCCCUCCAAUCCAUGUAAUAUAAAAGGACUUUUCUAAUGGAGAUGUGUACUUGUAAGACAACCUCUUUUUUAUUUUCUUAAUUAAAUGGUAGCAUAGAACAUUUUGAGUGGUGAAACAAACCUCUUAAACAAAGAAGAUGAUAAACACAGGCAGGUGUCGCUUUUGAAGUAUUGUAUCCAUGAAUUAACUAGUCCAAUCCCUUCGCCUCAUGCAUGUCAAUAUAUUAACUAUCCAUAAGAACAGCUUGCAGUAAUACUCGUUUGCUUUGGAAUUCAAUGAUUUUUGAGCUUUCCAUAUAUUUCAGAUAUCUUAUAAUACAUAAAAAUUGAAACUUACAUAUAUAUAUAUAUAUAUAUAUAUAUAUAUAUAUAUAGAGAGAGAGAGAGAGAGAGAGAGAGCGCUAGGCUCCUAUGCUUUCGAAAGUACCGGGACCUCCGUACUUGUAAGUUAUUUUCGAUGAUGGGACGUUCGAUUCGGUGAUCGGUUCCGUUAGACAUGAUCUACGUUAUUGGAACUAUCUAGAAACCAAAUUUCAUAAUUUUUUGACUUCUUUGCCUAGUGAGCGAGUAGCCUCAAAAUGAACGGCUGAAAAUAAAAAUCUCAUAAAAAAUAAUAAUAAAGGACUCAAAUUUCAAAUCAGAAGUAUUGAUCUUGCUAUUGAUGUUAAGUAAAAUUUUUUAUUAAAUUUUCAUGAAAUUUGGAUACUUUUAUACUUUUGAACUUAAAAACAUGCUGCAUCGGCCGAUAAAAUAGUCAUUUUUGGGAUAUUUUGAUCGCUUAGUAAAUGAUGUCAAAAAAUUAUAAAAUUUGGUCUCUAGAUAGUUCCAAUAUGGUAGAUUAUACCAAACGGAGCCGAUCGUCAAAUCGGAUGUCCUAUCAUCGAAAACAACUUACAAGCACGGAGGUCCCGGUACUUUCAAAAAUAUAGUAGCAGGACUAAUAUAUCUAUAAUAUAUAUUAUAUAUUAUAUAUAUUAUAUAUAUAUAUAUAGUCUAAUGCUACUAUGCCUAUUAAUAGGAUAAAGCACUGUGUCACUUCAAGUUGUUCUUGAUGAUCGACGAUUCCGAAUCGAUGUGCGAAGAGCGCAUGAAGUUGAUUAGAGUAUUUGAAAUAUCUAGAAAUAAAUUCAUAAAUUUGCAUAAAUGGUUUACAUGGUGAUCAAAGUGUCGUAAAAUCGACAAUUGUUGACGGUCUAUAUGAGCCUUGUUUGCUUGUUUAACGGUGUAGAACAUCCAAAUUGCUUGAAUUUUUGAUUACAAAAAUUCUUUAUACUAUUUAGAUAAUGUUUGAUAACUCUGAUUAUGAAUUGAGAAAGUCUAACCUCUAUUUUAAGAAGAUUAUUCAUUUAUGACCGUUCAUUUUUCAACUCUUAAGAUGAACUUGAUAAUGAUUUUUAAAUAAUACAAAAUUUGAUUUCUAAACAUUUUUAAUUGUGUAGAUCAACUUCAACGGUGCCGAUUAUCAAUUUGAAGUUCCGAUCAUUCAAAUCGACUUGAUAGGACAAGGGUCCCAAUCCUAUAAAUAGGAUAGUAGCCGGACUCUAUAUAUAUAUAUAUAUAUAGAGUCCGGCUACUAUACUAUUAUGAGUACGAUCGCCCUCGUACUCAUAAGUUGUUUUCGAUGAACGAGCUUCCGAAUCGACAAUCCACACCGUUAAACGUUAUCUAGAGCAUUUGAAACAUCUAGAAAUCAAAUUUCAUAAUUUUUCGACAUCAUUUACCUUACGAUCAAAAGCUCACAAAAUUGACAAUUUUUGUGAGCUGGUUGCAAGUUUAACGGUGUAGAAAUAUCCAAAUCACAUUAAAUUUUGAUAGAAAAUUAUUUAUACCAUAUAAAACAAGAUCAAUAACUUUGAUCUAAAAUUUUAAUGUCAUAUCAUCAUAUUUUGUAAGAUUUUUAUUUUCAGCUGUUGAUUUUGAGCCCCUUCGAUUACUAGGCAAAUGAUAUCGAAAAAUCGCAAAAUUUAUUUUCUAGGUACUUCAAAUACUCUAGAUCAAGUCUAACGGAGCCGAUCGUCGAUUCGAAAGUCCGAACAUCGAAAACGACUUGGAAGCAUGGAGGCCUCCGUGCUUUCAUAAGCAUACCAGCACAACUAUAUAUAUAUAUAUAUAUAUAAAAUUAAGCUCCUAUGCUUUUAAAAAUACUAAGUUAUUGGUGCUUAUAGAAUUUUGGCCGUUAGAUUAAAGGAUGUGUAGUUAGAAUGAUGUGGGCUCCUUAGGGUUGAGUGGGUGGUUGGUUGAAUAAUAUAAUCUAAUGGUUGAAAAUGAUCAAAGGUGUAGAUCUAACGGUAAAAAAUUUACAAGUACCAAAUACUUGGUACUUUUACAAACACCAUAGCCGGACUCUUUCUCUCUCUCUCUCUCUCUCUCUCUCUCUAUAUAUAUAUAUAUAUAUAUGUAUUUGAACUAGUAUACUAUUGAUUGUAAGAAAAUAGUAUUUACUAUUAAUUUUCUAGUCCAUGGAUCAAUUCUAUUCCACCUACCACUUACUAAAGCACAAGAAUUUAAAGGUUUAGAAGUUGAUAGUAAACCAUAAAAUAGGAAUACUUCUAAUAGUAUUCUAUCUUCUGCAACUUUUUAUUCAUUGGCAUUGAAACCAAUAUUUAUAAAGUAGGAAUUAUUGUUGACAAAAUAAGAACAUUGGCUCAUUAGCGUCAGCGCUCACUAAUUUUGAUCAGACUUAAACCUCCAAACUUAGCUCAUUACGGUUGGAUCAUCGUCCAUUAACACGGUAAUGAUAUUUUAUGCGUACUAAGUAAAUGAAAGUAGAUGCUAAUUGGAGAUUUAAUAUUACUAUUGAGAGGACUAGUACCAUUAAUUACUUUAUUUUUUCUAACUUCAGGAGUGUUAAAUAUGUUUAUCAAUUCCUUCAAAAUAUAUAUAUAUAUAUAUAUAUAUAUAUAUAUAUAUAUAUAUAUUAAACUAGCCAAGGAGAACAAUAUCCUUUAUCCGUAAGAUACUUGGUUAGCAAAUGGCUACCAUAUUUCAUAAGAAAUAAUAAUUGGCGUGAAAUAAUUGUUCAUACGAAGGAGAUAUUUUCAGGAACUGUGGUGUUGUAAUUUUUAGUGUUGUUAUUGAACUUUAAAAAUAUACGAAGAUUCAUAUACACAAACACUUUGAAAAUCUCCAAGGCAAGCAGUAAUCUCAAUUAUGGGACGAAUGGAGCUCGAGCUUAUCUUAUCUCACUCGUGUUCCCCUCAUUUGUUUCAUUAAUUCUAUCCCUGUCACUGAGAAUCGCAACGAUCCCUCGGUCAUCAAAAGAAGCUUCAAUAAUGCGGUCUCGCACAGGGGCCGUUUAUAGAAUAAUAGAGAAGUAGUUGCAAAAAGCAAUGCCGAGAAUCAUUCAACUACAAGCCUCUAAACCUUUUGGACACCGAACAGUCGAAUCAACUUGAACACCGAAAUCAGGUAGCAAUGUUCUCUUUUUAAUCUUUAAUUACUUUAAGCUUUGAGUCAAGUUUUAUUUUGGUCCUCAAACUUUUGAUUUUGAUAUUCGAGUUCCUAAACUUUUACUAAUACUUUAAUUUGGUUCCUAUUCUUUGAACAAUGUUUUAUUUUCAGCUCUUAGUUUAAAUUAAAAUUUGUUGUUUGCACCUGAUUCAUCUAUUUGUUUGUACACUAUAAUUUGCUGAUUCUUCAUCAUCUCAUGCCUUAAUUUAAAAAAUAUAAUAUUUAUAUAGAGACAAAGUUAAAACCCAAUGAGUGGUAGAAUUGAAAUAUGCAGUGUGAAACAUAGUCAAUAAAUAGUCAAUAGAUGAUGCAUGGCACAUAAAUGUACAAAAUAUAUGGGAUGUAGAUAGUAAUUUAUCUUCCAGUAGUAAAUAUAUAAAAGGACCAAAUUGAAACUUUUUGAAGAGUUUUGGUACCAUUAACUAUCGAAAAUUGAAAGUUCAAUAACCAGAAUAAAACUCGUGCAAAGUAGGAGACCAGCGGUGCAAUUUACCUUGUAAAGGGUUGAUAAGGGUUAAUGUUAUCCAAAUAUCCUCACUCAUUAUCGAGUUACUUUCAAUGUCAUACUUUUUUCUUUCUAGAUUAUACUGCAUUGGAUAUUACACAUGGAAUUAUCCGCCUACUUUCGUCGCAAGAUCUUUGCAGACUAAAGAAUAAAGAGCCACCCUCUAGGUGGUAGCACGACAGAAGAGAAUAUUACGUGUGGAGUACAAGUUCCACUACUUGGGAAUAUAUUCACCUCUAAAGGCUGUGGAGCUUAUCCAAUAAUCCUAAACUACUGGAGCUCACCCUCCAUAACUUUAGAUCCACAAUUGAAAUCCGUGUGUUUUUACAAUGAGUACUGCCGCAUCAUGUUUAAUGUCUUCUGACAGCUGCUGUUAUGCUAGCAUCAUAGUGAUCGGAAUGCAAGCGUUUGAUCUCUCAAAUCUCAGCCAUUUAUCAAACUUAGAUCGAGCUGUGUAUAGCCGUUCUCGGUGAAAUGGCCUAUGGGUGCUGCACGCUGCAGAAGCAUGAACCUGAGAAUGCUUCUGCCGGUGGGGCAGCGAGGUGGUUUUUGUGACAAUCGGGGUGAUCGCAAUGGGCUGACGAUGGAUGAUACUGUGGAUGAUGACUUGAAUUACUCUACGGCUACUCCUACAUCUACAUUACGCUUACUCCUAAUGCGGGUAGAAAAAGCAACGGUAGAAUUGGAUGAUAGCUUGUUAUCCCUCCUUUCCGUAGCUUUUCUCUCUUAUAUAAGCUUAACCUCCAAUAUGGCGUAGCUAUAAACAGUGUAAUUUUUGUGAGUUAAUUAUACUUUAUUUUCGAAACAAUUUGUGACACCCCAAUGGUUCCACAUCAGAUAGUUAUGACUAGAUGUAGGGGUAUAUAAGCUUGACCAGGCUAGAUAUAAUAACUGAAUUUAAGCAUUUUGGACUGGUGGUUUGAGCUCAACGAGUUAUUAUUGCUAGCAGGUCGGGUCGUUACAUUUGGUAUCAGAACCAGUUCACCGGCCGGAAAUGUGAGAUGAGUCUUGGCUAAGGCAGGGUCGGAAUGACAGACUAAGCCAGAGUUGGUGAUUGACGGGCUAAAUCAGAAUCGAAAUGACAAAGGCUAACGAGACAAGUUUCACAUCACCUGAUAAUCUUGGGCUGUGUGUGUUUAGGGCUGACGAGAACGUCAAAACCUAAACAGAGAGAGUCUGUGACACUCCAAUAGUCUCAUAUCGGAUAGUUAUGGCUAGAUGUGGGGGUAUAUAAACUUGAUUAGGUUAGAUAAAAUAACUGGGCUUAAGCAUUGUGGGCUUGUGGUUUAGGCCCAACGAGUUAUUAUUGCUAACAGGUUGGAUCGUUACACAAUCCCCUAAUUAUGCCUAUAUUCUCAAAUGAAACUUAAAUUUCAAGUGCAUCUAAGUUGCCUUUUAGGGCCUUUCAAGUGCAUCUAAGUUGCCUUUUAGGGCCUUGUCGAAGUCUUAAGCCUUCGGCGCACUUCAUCUUACCAAAACUGAAUUCUUUUACUUAAGGUCUUUCUUUCUGCGAUCCUUACUUAUCCCAUUCUGAUUUGUUUGUCUUCCGGUGUCAGAAAUAGGUGUCAAUAAUAGAAGUACACAAAGUAUUACUCUUUUUUAACAGAUAAAAGUACUUUCGGCUAUCAAAAGAACGGGGAUAAUACUUUCCACUUUUCCUGCUAUUUUUAGGCUCCACUAUUGUCUGGAAAUAAAAGCAACAUUGAAUUAUCUGAAACUUUGCUUGAAAGGAAGAAUCCCACAUUUGAAAUUUAAGGAAUUAAUAUUACGGUUAGAUUUAAAUAGUGUUUUAGUUGUUUGUGGCCUGGGAAACAAAUUGGAUUGGUAGGAUUUGACCGAUGGUUAUCUAACAAAGAUACCGACCGUCCUUAGCGCAAGUGGCAAAAGAGCUUGGUGGUUGAUAUCCGAGACCCAAGUUCGAAUCCUAGUUGAUUCACAUUUCUAGCUAAGUUUAUUUCUAAAUGAAAUAACGAAGCGGGUAGCAGGUUACCUUUCUCUCCAAAAAAAAAAAAAAAAAAAAAAACAAAGAUAGCAGCAUAAUUUCAGUUCGCGUACUUUUGCCUUUUCUUAGAAUGGAUAUGUGAACCGAAUCUUGAACAUUUACUCUCAUCUCGGAGUUUUUGGAUGGCAUAAAAUUUUGGACACAAAAUUCAACAAGAAUAUAUAAAGAAAAGGACCAAUCACACUCAUGCAUAGAUAUUCUCAUGGAGUCAGUUCCAAUGAAUAUUACAUCAGCUAAUUCUUGGGCCCCUUCAUCUGCAAGUACUCAGAAUUCGAAGUACCUAACACUGCUCAAAUUUUAAAAAGGUUGGAUCAAAAUGUUAAGCUAAUUUAACUUAGCAACUAUACAUGCUAAGUUAGAAUACUCUAGGAAUAUGGUAGGCCUUCUCAUCCAAAGGAGUUCCAAAUUCAGAGUAUCUAGUAAUACUCUUCAAUGCAAUCGUUCGUCUAGUUGUUCAGCUAUGUUCAUCUGGUUCGGUUAAUUUUUCACUGUAUCAAAUUAAAGUUCAGCUCUUGCUUCAACCAAUCCGACUUCAAACCAGUUCAGCUGGUCUUUUUUUGCAAAUUCUCAAUCCUAUCUUCCAACUGAUACAAACCUAGACAUGAAAUUCUUUCGCUCUCGUCCUUUUCUACCACUUUUGCGUCAUACACUACAAUCAAACCAAACAGAUGGAACCAUCAUCACUUUUUUAUCACACUGACUAGGAUAAGAAUCAUAAUAUACCAUCACAUAGUUUUAAAGGGUUUGUUCCACGUAGUACCCCAAAUUAUAAAAUCUACUUAUCCCAAGCGUUAAGUACAAGUUCCAUUUUUUUAUUGAACAUCCGUAUCCAACUUCAUAUAACAAUCAUUAAACUUGGUCUAGUAAAGGAGUGGUCGACCAUCCAGUUGAUCUGCUCUCCUAGUCUAUACUCUAUUGUAUCAUUCUUUUAAUAAAUGGUAAGAUUAGAAGUUAAGUUAAAAUUGAAUGAAGGAUAAUUAAUAUGUGGUCCAAGAACUACAUGGUGGAUUAGGUCGAGCUAAUAAUCUCACCUCCAUCCGGCCAAUAGCACUUAGUACUAGUAAGCCUCACUUUUUUUGCCACCCCAAACCGUCUAUAAAUAACUUGCCACUACCAUAUGCUCCCUGCCACAAACUCGAGCAUUAAAAAGUGAUUGUGACUAGUACUCGUUCGAUCAACUUUUUAGUAACUACUAUUGACCUGUGCCAUUCCAUGUUAAACAGCCGUGCGAUCCACAUUGGAAGCCGGUCAAUGACCGAGGAGCAGUUCCGGGAAUGGCUCCGGCACAUCGACCAGAACAAGGAUGGCCGAAUAAGCAAGGAGGAGCUGAACGCAGCAUUGAAAACCCUUGGGCUCAGAUGCAAACGGUUGAGGGCAUGGUGGGUGAUGAAGAAGAACGACACGGACAAAAGCGGCUACAUCGACACCGAGUCGGAGAUUCGGGCCCUGAUGGAGCAUGCUAGGAAGCACUGGGGCAUUGAUAUCAGGUCAAAGUAGUCAAGUAGGAGUUGCUACAAGUAGCUACCUUGUUUUCUGAAGUAGGACAGAAAAUUUCGAAGUAAGUUUGUAGUAUGGAUUUUCUAUUUUCUUAUAUAUACAUAUAUAAGGAAUAAAUAAACAAAAGCUCCUAUAUAGGAAUAAUACAUAUAUAUAGGUGUGUGUGUGUAUUAUAUAAGUAUGUUAGUUGUAUGGUCUUUCUCCUUUGUUUUGUACACAGAAAGAAAAAGUUAGCUCAUAUAUAUAUAUAUUUGUAAAAGUAUAUAUAGAAAGUUAGUUUGUUGAAUGGUUUUUCUCCUUUCUUUUGUAUACUGAAAGAAAAGGCUAGUUAAUAUAUGUAGAAGUAUGUACAUAGAAGUUUGUUUGUUUUUCUCCUUUUUCUUUAUAUACUGAAAGAAAAAGUUAAAUUAUGUAUGUAGAAGUUUGUAUUAUGGUUUUUCUCCUUUUGUGUGUUAUGUAAGGAAAUAAAAGACUUUUCCAACAGACGUGUACUUUUAAGCUUUUUUUUUUUGCAAUUUUUAUUUUUUUAAAUGGUAGCAUAGAGUAUUUUGAGUAGUGAAACAACCUCUUAAACAAAGAAUAUAAUAAACAUGCAUAAUUAAGAGUUGUUGGUGUAUAAGCAUGCAUGAUUGAAAGUUUUCUAUUGGUUUAUGCACACAAUUAAAGAUAUCACGUAAGUUUGCUAACACAUCUACUGCUCAUAUAGUGCCCUUUGUGGAGAUUCUAAACUUAGAGGACGACCAAUAAAUACUUAUCCUGAAGUGGAGAAACAAACAGUUUUUAUAGAGAUAUUGAACCAAUUUUUGUAUUUUUUAUAUCAUCAUUAGGCCUUACACGUGAAAAAGGAGAAAGUCUUCUCUGUAAGAGAUGUUUUAUUUAGAAAUAAUAGUAUCCAAUAAAAUUAUUUUCUUUAUAAAGUAAUACCUCAUAAAAAUUGUGUUAGAACAUGUUGCAAAUUGGCUUAUGAUAGUAGUGGCCCUAUGAUCAUGCAAGUAGUGUUAGUAAUAGGUUAACUUAGAUAGAAGUAGACUAUUUUGUGUAAAUAGUGGAGUAGUAGAAGCAGUGGGUUUCAAUUGUGGAGUUCAUAGUAAUAAUUUUUUUAAGAACACAUGUAGUGAAUACAGUGCAGAACAUGCAGUAAGUUGGGUUGUCUUGGUCCUCAAUCUUUCUUUUUCUAUUUGAAGUCAUGUUUGUAACCUUAUAAUUCCUGAAGUUGAAUUAAAAAUAUUUGCUUCUUCCACUAUAUUGAUGUAGUAAAGUUUGUUGGUGAGCAUUAAUCUCUUUUUAGAAAAUUUCUUCUAACUACAAUUUUUGGUAUUAGAGCUCUGUUACGAUGAAAGUUGGAAGUUAUGGUAUUUACGAAGAGAGGCACAUCCUAAUAAAUAACUUGUAACAAUUUAACUCGCUAACAAUAAUAACUCAUUGGGUUUAUUAAGGUUUAUGAUAUCUUAUAUACCCAAUUACAAUUUUGUUUUCAUUCGAUAUAGGAUUAUUAGGGUGUUACAGACUUUUCCAUUUAGAUCUUGACGUCCUUAUUAGCCUAAUCAAGAGCUCAAAAUCACUAGGCGAUAUGAAGCCCACUCACACUUCCGGUUGGUGAACCGGCUCUGAUACCAAAUAUAACGAGUUGACCCGUUAACAAUAAUAACUCGUUGGGUCCAAACUACCAACAUUUUAUUGAGGUCACACAUUACUAAUGCGAACAAAGUAGUGGGUGAACCAAAGAUACUAAACAUAUCGGACUCGGAAGGUAAAACACAAAUAUUCAACCAGAGUCUCAAAUUGCAAGUUAAUUGAGCUGAACCGAACCUAAUAUAGGAUUUAAUGGAGGAGCAUUUAACAACUUCAUUACCAAAGGACAAAAUUUAAAACCUGUUAACUGUUUUCUUAUCUGCACACUGAAAUAGGAUGAGCCACUCACAGAUAUACAAAACAUAGUUACAAAACCUGAUCUAAUUACAAAACCUGAUCUGAUCCAACCAAAUCCAAUCUAAUUAAAUCAGUAAAGGCACACUAUCAAUACCGACUGAGCGGAAUCUAAUUUCUUUUCUUUUUUUUUUAACUUAAUUUGCCUAAUCUGUUCUGAAGAUGGUAAGGGACCACUGCCUAACUGUGAUCAAGAAAAAGAAAGCUAGAGCACUAGAAGAUCAAAUUAAUAGAGUAAGAAGAUCGUGAUGAGUUUACCUGAUUGCGAAUGUCGGAUUGCACCGCACAAUCGAUAUCGGAAUCGAUGACUCGUUUGAGGUGGUCGUCGGCGGAGACCAUCUCCACAGCGUCAAGCUUCGUGAAUUUUCCUAUCAAAUCCCACAAAAACACUACGGUUUGGACCAUUUCCAGAUCAAAUUCUCAAAGAUAAACCGAUUUUCAGGUACUCACAACAGGAAUCCACACAAUGACGAGGAAACCGAGCCCUCCGAAGCGCUUCUAUCGAUCGGAGCAUAUACAGAAGCGCCCGAUCUCCCGAUCGAGCGCUCGAACUACUCCGAUUCGCGAAAUCGAAGCCCUAAAUCGCGCGGAAGCGAAUCCGACCAUCCCCGAUCGCUCGGAGAGAGCUCACCUCCGCCCCGCCGCUGCGGAAUCGGAUCCUCCAAUCCAAGCACGACACAACCGAUCUCUCUGUACGUUGCUUCUUUCAUGGAGAGAGAAAGAGGAACGAGGCGUGGGUGAGGGAAGGUUUCGGAGGAUGCGGGUGCGGGAGCGGGAGGGGAUUUUUUAUUUAUUUUUUUUUUGGACUGUUCAUUUUUUAAAAUUUUUAAAACUAUAUAUUAUUUUGGAGUUUUUUUUUAUAAUUCUUUAUUAUUUUUUUUUUGGGGGCAUCGUUUGAUUGAAUAUAAUUAAAAAUAUAAUAUUAUUAAAUAUAUAUAUAGCUGAAAAUACAACAUCUUAUUAAGUUAUUAGUGAAAUACCCGCGCGAUGCUGCGGAUCUAAAAAUAUUUUAACAAUAAAUUUUAUUUUUUUAAUAUUUUUAUAUAGUUUUAUAAGUCUAAUUAUUAAUUAAAUAAAAAUUAUAUAAAAAUAAUUUAAUAGUUAAAUCUUAAAAUUGAUAUAUGCCCAAAUAAAUUUAUACAUCACUUUAUUUUAUAAAGAUUUAUAUGAGAAAGAUUUGAGAUAAAUCUAUCAAAAUAAUUUUUAAAAAAUCAAUAGAUAGAAGGGAAGUAAAUUUGUAGAAUAAAUUGCUUAAUAAAAUUAAUUAUAUAUAUAUAUAUAUACAUAUACACUAUAUUUUUAAAAUUUUUCACUUAAAAUUUAAAUUAUGUAUUUUUUUAUACAACGAUAUUUUAAGUGAUUUAAAUUAAAUCUAUCAUGUUAAAUUUUAUUAUACGAUUUAUUAUGCAUAUUAUUAAUAAAAUUAAUUAAUUUCAUAGAGUUUAGAGAUUUAAAAUUUUUAGUUUUGAAGAAAUUUAAAUUAUGUAUUUUUUUAUACAACGAUAUUUUACAUGAUUUAAAUUAAAUCUAAUAUGUUAAAUUUUAUUAUCCGAUUUAUUACCCGUAUUAUUAAUAAAAUUAAUUUUAUAAUUUUAUAGAGUUUAGAGAUUUAAAAUUUUAAAUUUUGAAGUUACAAAAUUGGAAAUAAAUAUUAUAAGUUAAAAUUGAAAUUUAGAAUUUAAAAUAUAAAAUUUAAAAUUUAAAAUUUAAAACUUUAAAACUUUAAAAUUUGAAAGUAUGAAAAUUUAAAAUUUUGAUAUAAAAAUUAAAAAUUAUAUAUAUAUAUAUAGAGAGAGAGAGAGAGAGAGAGAGAGAGAAAGUGUAAAGGAGGGUUUGGGGGGUGACACGUGUCACCCUAUGGACCCCCCAAAUCCUUUUUUAAUGUAGAAGAAAGAAUAGAUAGAUAUGUACACUACAACAGAAUUAGAUUAUAUGGACACAUGUUUGGGACACUUUUGAGUAAGUGUCUCAUUUAUGCUAAAACUUAAAAACACAUCUACUAAUGCCUAAAUAUAAAGCCCAAUCCAACCAAAAAUAAAAGAUUACUCUACUCAACCCACCACACCCAGUCCAUUUGGCCCGAUUACAAACAGAAAAGAAAAAAAAAAAAAAAAAAAAUUACCAUCUUUUCUUCUCUCUUCACUCAAUCCACUGAAAUUCUAGACGAAGAGCCUUUUCCUCUCGUCCUCCUCCGCCACCGCAGCCAACGAGAUAGAGUUUCGGUGGUUGCUAAAUGCUUAAAUAAGUGUUGGUAAAUUAGCAGCACUCUUUUAGGUUAUAGCGACACUCUUUAACUGUCACUAUAUACCUAGCGACCCCACAUAUAGCAACACUUUUUAAAAGUGUCGGUAAUUUUAGCUAGCAGCACUUUUUUGACAUGUACCUACAUUUAAAACUGUUGCUAUAGACUGUUUUUGUUGUAGUGGUAAUAGAAAAAUUAUAAAUAUAAAUAAUUUAUUUAUUUGCAUAAUGUUAAAAAAUUAAAAAAAAAAAACUUUAUCACUUUUAUCUAUAAUGAUAAGAUGACCUCCAAUAUAGAAAUAAAAAAUAUUUUUUAUUUAAAAAAUGAUUAAGAAAGAUUUAUUUUUUUUUUGUUUAAAAUUACUUUUUCAAAUGUUGCAGUCGAAACUACACCAAUUUAAGUGUACUUUUCAUGUUGUUCUAACAGCAAUAUUUAAAUUCAAAUGUACCAACUAAACAUCGAAUUUAAAUUCAUACAUAAUUACAAUUAUAGUGCGGCUAUAACAAUAUACAAUCAAACAAUCCGGAACUUGAGCUUUUAUCUCUCUCUAAUCUUCGGCUCAUUUGUACCUCUAGUUCAACCCCGGUCAAUAAGAAUCACAACGGAGAGCAUUUCAGCGGCAUCAAAAAUUGUUGACAUCACUAACAAAAUAACAGGUAGCAGUUUUUUUUUUUUUUGGCGGUGCAAGAUUGCUUGGUUUUCUUAGAGGGCAUUUGGUUUGGAAACAAGGAUAAAAUAAGUCAAUUUUUUUUUUUUCUCAAACGGUAUUUUUGGUAGUCAAGAACAGUAAUUUUUGAAUUUUAAAAAUAAGCUAGUAUAAUUUGGUAUAAGUCUGAAACUAUUGUUUCACAAUUUAUUCUGAAUAAUGUUAAUUAAAGUCUAAAUUUAAUUUUAAUUAUGGUAUUAAAUCUUAAAUUUGUUGGAGACAAGUAACAUAUAAAAUUUAAAUUUACACUGAAAUAGAAAUCCUAAUAUCACUAUAGCCUUAUAAGUACAUAUAAGUGCCUUGGUGAGAUGUAUGAGCAGGUGCAAAUGAUUUGAUGUGGUAGGUAGGAGUAGGACACGGAAGAGAGAAGCUAACAUUCUGAGAGUUAUAAGACAAGAGAGAGAGAGAGAGAGAGAGAGAGAGAGAAAUAUUCAGAAAGAGGGCUUGCAUUAAAUCUACUAUGUAUAAAAAAGAAAAAGAGUCUAAUUCGCUUUUUUAUUAGUAAAUUUUAUUUUUUUUAUAUUUUUGUACAGGUUUUUUUUUUUUUAUGAUUGUACUAGUUUUUUUUAUUCAGUAGACAAAUUUAUAAUAAAAAAUUCUGAUUAAAUAUUUUUAUUGUGAAAUUUUAACUAUUCGCAUCCAAGUGGCUUACUGAAUUUACGACAAUCGGUAUCAAAACAGUUACGGACUCAACAUGAAUUAGUACGUGCUAAGAGAGUAUUUAGUAGGAAACAUAAGGGCUAAUAAAGGUUAGUGUUAUUCAAUUAUCCCUAAUCAUUAUUUACUUCGAAUCCCUUAUCUUUUUUGAACUACUUUCUCUUUCUACAUUAUGCUGUCUCCAUUCCUUUUCCAGAUUAAUAAAUAAUAAAGAGCUAGCCCCAAGUGUUGGGCUGUUAGCACAACAGAAUAUACUAAUACUAAUUGUGAAGUACAAGUUUCACUACUUGGAACAUAUUCACCUCUAAGGGCUAUGGAGCUCAUCCAAAUAGUUAUAAAUUUUUGGGACUCACCCUCUAUAACUUUAGAUUCGCAAUAGUAAGAUUUGUUUGCUUUCCCCCUUUUUUUUUAAUAAAGAUAAUUUUAUUCACCGGAACGCGAUCAGACGCUGACAAAAAAAAUCAUACACUUUUUAUCCAAAACUAAAAGCACCUAGCCAAUUCAAUCUUCAGGGCCUGAUCCAAUUCAUUCAUAUGCUUUUUGUAUUCAUUAAUUCUUCCAAAAAUUAUCUGCCUCUUAGCAUAUUGAUUUGUAACCGUCUUUCGAAAAUCAUUGCUAUGCUAGCAUGAAAAUUGGUUUGAAGUACAGUAUAGACCAACGUACAAAUAAAUGUAAAAGAAUGGAAGGUAUUACUGCUUUCUAAUAGAGAAAAGUAAGUAGUAAUUUUCUACAAAAGGAAUGGGAAUAACAUUUUCCACUUUUCCCUUGUUUUCCUGUUAUUUUUAGCCUUCACUAUUAUCUGUAAAUAAAGCUUAAUUUCCACGAAAAGAAACCCACAUUUGGAGCUUUAAAGGAAUUAAUAUUACAGUUAGAUUUAAACAGAGUUUUAGGGGCUGUUUGGUUGCAUGCAUUUCUAACUGCAUUGCAGUUGAAAAUGCAUGCAUCUAUUAAAUUUUUGUUUGAUUCGGUGUAGUUAGACUCAACUGCUGCAAUUGCAUCUAUACGAGAAGGCCCAACGCUGCAGUACCAACUGCAGCAGUUGGGCCAGAGUCAGCUCACGCGUUAAAAAAAAAAACAAAGUGUGAUUUUUUUUUCAUACGUUUCUUUUUUUUUUUAUUUUUUUCCUAAAUACCUACUAAUGAAAUCUGAUAGGUUUAAUAAUUUUUUUCAUAUUCUUCUUUUUUUUUCAGUAUGCUAGUUUAAUAAUAUCUUAAUUUUUAUUUUUGACCAAAUCUAUAAUAUAUUUGCAUUUAAAAUUUAUUAAAUUCAUACAUAAUUUUAUAAUAUAUAAAUUAUAUAUAGAUAUAAAAGUCUUAAUUAAUAAUUAAAACAUAAUUACGUUAUGCAAGAGAUAUUUUCAUAUUUCUAUCUAAAAAUUGACAUAACUUAUAAAUACAAAUCUCAACUGCAGACUACCAAACAGAAAAAAUAUAACUGCAGCAGUUGCAACUGUAUAAAACUAAACAGACUAGAUACAUUUAUAACUGCAAUAUUUACAACUACACGUACUUUUAACUACACUGUUAUUAUAACUAUAUCAAAUCAAACGGCCCCUUAGUUGUUUAUAGCCAGGGAAACAAAUUGGACGGGUAGGAUUUGACCGAUGCUUAUCCAAUAAAAGAAGCAGCAUCAUUUUAAGUUUACUAUAUUGCUGUUUUUUUUUUUUUCCCCGAAAUUGAUAUGUGAAUCUUAAACAAUUAAUCUCAUCUAAGAGUUUUUGGAUCCCGUAAAUUUUGGGCAGCGACAAGAAUGAAUUGAUGGAUGAUUGAACUAUAAAGAUAUAUACAAAAAUUGUUUCCAUGAACUUUCAAGUACAUUGAAGAAAUACAGAGACCAAUCACACUCAUACAUAGAUAAGAUCCGUAUGUCAUGAUGGCUACACUACCGUUCUCAUCAGACUCAAUUUUAGCUAAUAUUAUAUGAAUGAAAGCAGGUAGGCGUGCCAUUUUUCUCUAACAAAAAAUUUACAUGAACUAAUUUGUAGGCACUUCCAUCUACUCCAAAUUCGAAGCAUCUAACACUACUCAAAUUUUCAAGAUGUUUGAUCAAAAUGUUAAGCUAAUUUAACUUGUCAACAAGAGCUAGGUUGGAAUUAAUGCGCCAGGAAUAAGGUUGGCUGCGUUAUUCAAUAGUACUCUAAAUUCAGAACUAAUAAUUACUAUAAGAAUAUUAACAUUUAAGAACAUCUGUUUUCGGUACUUAAUAAUACUUAAAAACAUCUCAAUAUAAUUUACCGUCAUAUUUGAAUUUGAAAAUAUCGAGAGUCGUCUCUUAUGUACCGACGCUUAUGUCAAGCGUUAGUAGAAUAUAUUCUAAUACUUUAAAAUGUCAGAAAAAUUGAAAAUAAUAGUGGAGUUUAUUCUUCAAUAAAUUGGUUUGAUAUAAUAAACGGUUCAUAUGAGGACAUUUUCUGAAAUGUCGAUAUUUGUUGUAUUAUAAGAAUGCAUGGGGACGGUUCAUCUAAGUAUCAUUUAAAAAUCAAAAUGAACUCAUUCAUCAGGCUGUUUCCGUAAAUUUUUUUACUGAAUCAAAUUAAAGUGUUAUUAUCCCAACCAAUUAAUCCAAUCCAACCAGGCUGGCUCAACCAACUUUGGCUGAAGUUCUCAAUUCUAUCUUCCAAUUUACACCAACUUUGUGACGAAAUUGUUUCUGUCUCAUACUUUUCGAUCACUUUUGCGUCGUAUACUAUGCAAUCUAGUGGAACCAUAACCACCUUUUUUUUUUUUUUUUUUGUCACUCCCACUGGAGAUAAGGCUCGAGGUAACGUAACGAACAAUGUCCAGGAAUAAUAAAGCAACCAUAAUAUACCGUCACAUAAUAUUAACGUGAUUUGCUCCACGUGGCAUCCAAAAUUAUAAAAACUAUUAAUCGACAGUUUUUUUCAGGUACAGAUUCCAUAUCAGAACAUCCGUACCAAUCACUGUCUAAACUUGGUCUAUUAAAUGAGUGGUAGACCGUGUUGUUGAUUUGUACUUUUAUUAUUGAAUUAAAAUUAAUGUUUUAAAAAUCGAAUCAAAUAUCUGUUCAAAACUAUUACUGAUCAAGAAUCACUGGUUCAACCAAUGAAUUAAGCACUAAUUAAAUUGGUGACAUCAGUAUAACUUACCAGAUAUUUAAUUAUUAUUUUUAAUUCAAUUACAUAAAAUAUUAUUCAUUUAUUAUUAUUCUAAUAUUUUAUUUAAUUAUAAAAUGUUGUUUGCUACAGUACAUUAAGUAGAUAGAAAUUUUUUAGUUUCACUUUCAUAAGAUUAAUCCAAGUUAAUUGAAAUUAAAAUCAGUUAAGUUGAUUGUAAGGCUUUGAAUUUUAAUAUGACUUGAAAAAAAAAAAUCCGGCUGGUUUCAUUAUAGCCGGACCACUGUUCAGUUCGAAUGAUUCAAAAUGAUUCUUUAAAUUAUCCGAUUCAAAAGGCUGAAGCGAACCGUAUUAUAACUCGGUCAUAGUCGGACCUGUCGACCAGGCUGAUUCAACUCGAUUAUUGAUUAAGACUGAACGAACAAUAAUUGGUAGUGGUGGAAGAACUAAAUGGUGGGUUAGGUCUAGACAAUAAUAUCUCUCCAUCCAACAAGGCUAUUUUGUAACAGUAAGGCUUCCUUUGGGAUUACAGGAAGAUUGCGUUAUGUGCGGUGAUCAAGAAAAUACGUUGGAAAAAUACUCUGUUUAUUUCUGUACGUAAUAUUGUGUUUUGCAUAUGGCGAUGAGUCAGUUACGAUAUAUUUUCUGCGGUCUCACCAGAGAACGCAGAAGCAUAUCUCUAUAUGCUUUUUCCUCAACUCCAUUUUAUCUAAUAGCGUUAGAUUGAGCUCAAAGACACUUUUCGGCCACCAUAUGCACCGUAGCCCCUUCAUAAAUAGCUCUCCGGCACAAACUCAAGCAUUGAGCGGUCGUGGUCAGUACUACUCUUUCGAUCAACUUUUAGUAAUUAUUAAACCGUGCCAUGAGUGCUGAUACUGCCCGAACGGUCUACUUCGGCAAGUGGCCGAUCACGGAGGAAGAGUUCCGGGAAUGGCUCCGGCAACUCGACCGGAACAAGGACGGCCGCAUAAGCAAGGAGGAGUUGGCGGCGGGUUUGCAAACUCUCGGGCUCAGGUGCAAACGGUGGAGGGCGUGGUGGGCGAUGAAGAAGAACGACGCGGACAACAGCGGCUACAUCGACACCGAGUCGGAGAUUCAGAAGCUGGUGGAGCAUGCGAGGAAGCACUGGGGAAUUGAUAUCAGGUCAAAGUAGGAGUUACUACAAGCACGUAAAGUUGGAUGGAAGAUGUAGUAGAAGUUAAUUACUUUGCCAUAUGCUAUGCUGGUUUUUCAUCGUUUCUUGUUUUACAUGCAUGUUGAAGUUAAAAAAAAGAAAAGAAAAAAAAGUUUGUUAGUAGUAUGCUUUUUUCUCUGUGGUGCCCUCCAUGUAAUGAAAACACUUGUUUAAUGGAGAUGGGUACUUUUAACUUUUAAGUGAGCACUUAUUAUUAUUAUUAUUAUUAUUAUUAUUAUUAUUACUAUUAUUUUGACUAUUUUGAGUGGUACUGAAACAACCUCUUAAAAAAAGCAGAUGAUAAGCAUGUGUGUCACUUUUGACGAACUGCAUGUCUCCAUCCAUGAACCACUCAAAACCGUACGUUCGUUUUAUGUUUCGUUAUACGUCAACUAUCUGAAAGAGCAGCUUGUGUGUAGCAAUACACCCUUGCUUUGGGGCUAAGGGUGUGUUUGGUUCCACCUAAAAUUAAGGAAAAAAAAUUUUCGGUGGAAAAAAAAUUUUCGGUGAAAAAAAUUUUUACGUCGUUUGUGUUUAGUUUGUGGGAAAAAAAAUAUAGUUUUUCAUUACAGUUGUUUGAUUAAAAGAAAAAGAAAAGUAGAUAAAAAACUAUUUAAUAUAUUUUUUAUUAUAUAUAUUAUUAAUAUAUUAUAAUUAUUAUAUAUAUUUUCUCUAAUUAUAUAUAUAUUAUAUAUUAUUAAUAUAUAAUAAUUAUCAUAAUAUAUUUAAUUAUUAUAAUUUAUAUUUAUAAAUAAAAUAUAUUAUAUAAUAAAUAUGUAAUAUAAUAUAUAAUAAUAUAUAUUUAAUACUAUAAAAUAAAUUUUAUGUAUUUAUCAAAUGAUAUAGAUAUAUAUAAUAUUACACAAUAAUUAUAUUUAAAUAUAAAUAUAUAUAUAUAUAUAUAUAUAUAUAUAUGAUAUAUACUAUAAUAUAUAUAUAUAUAUAUAUAUAUAUAUAUAUAUAUUAAAUAUUAUAUAUAAUAUAUUAUUGAGCUCCAUAUUGCUUUUUAAAAGUACCAAGUCAUGGUGCUGUAAGUUUUCGGCCCUUGGUUAAAGGAUGUACGGCUUAGGAUCAUGUGCGGGCCCUAGGUUGAGUGGGUGCGUUGGAUUGAAAUAGUUUAAUUUAACGGGGUUAAAAAUGACAAAAUGCAGAGACUUUAACGGUAAAAAAUUUACAAGCCACCAAAAUGCUUGCGUAUUUUUUACAAGUAUCAUAGCCGACUCUUAAUAUAUAUUUUUAUAAUAUAUAUAUAUUAUAUAUAUAUUGUAUAUAUUAUAUAUUAUAACUAUGAUCGUAUAUAUAAAAUAUAAUUGUGAUCUAUAUAAUAUUUUUAUUAUAAGUUUCUAUAUAUAGAUUAAAUAUAUAUUUAAAUAUUAAUAAAUAAUAUUAAUAAUAUAUAGAGUAUGAAUUAGACAAUAAUUAAUAAAAUAAUUUAUAAAUUUAUAAAUAAAUAUUAUAUAAUAAUAUCUUUAUAUAAAAAAAUUACUUAUAUAAUAAAUAAAUAUAUAUUUAUAUAAUAAAAAUUAUAUACUAUAUAUAUAUAUAUAAAACCAGAGGGAGGUCCACCGUGGACCUCCCUCUCUGCGGUCCACGAGGCCAAUGGACUGUGCGUGCGCCCGCUGCCCCCUUUCAUGCCGAACGCUGUGAUUCUUCCCUUGUUUUCGUUUUACAUAUUCUCAGAAAAACGAGUAUUUUUCUGAGAAUAUAUAAAAGCGCUUUUCCGAAAUUUUUUUUUACGAGCAAACAAACGUUGGAUUUUUAUUUUUCUGCUGAAAUUUUUUUUUCAGGCCCAUUUUACAGGGAACCAAACACCGCCUAAAUGAUUCUUCAUGAAGAUCUGUAGAUACAUAAGAACUUAAUGCCUUUUUGUUUGAUGCAAAUUACAUACUCUAAUAAGAGUACUAUUGUGUCAGCAUGCAUGCACGAAGUAAAGGUUUUGUUAGUUAGAUUAUUAUCUUUUUUUUUGGAGAAAAAUGUAGCACAAUCUAUUUUAUUCAAUAGAUAUAUAACUAAUUAAGGGGAUGUUUGGCCUAACUUCUCAAAAGUGAUUCUGAGUCUAAAAUCACUUUUGAGCUCAGUAGAGCAUUUGGGAAUGACAGAUAGAAAUUUUGAUUUUAUUUUUCAGAAUUAGAAAACUAAUUUUGAAAGAUCCAAAAUCAGAAACAGAAAAAGGCUGUUUUUCCAAAACUAAUUCUGAUUUUGGAUUCAAAUUUUAAAUUUUUAUUUGUAUUUUAGAUUCAAAGUAAAAAUUUAACAUUAAAUUUAAAUUUUAGAAUUUUAAAUUCAUAUUUGAAUUUUUAAAUCUCAACUUUUCAAAUUUAAAAUUAAAAAUUUAGAUUUAAAUUUUAAAUUUAAGUUUCAAAUCUCAAAUUUUAAAUUUUAAAAUUCAAACUUUAAAUUUAGAUUUUAAAUUUGAAAUUCAAAAUUUAAAUUCAUAUUGAAAAGUUAAAUUUAGAUUUAAAAAUUCAAAUUUUAAAUAUAAAAUUUUGAAAUUUCAAAUUUAUUUUUUGUAGAAAUUUGAAAUUUAAAAAUUAUACUUUUAAUUCAAAUUUAAAUUUUUAAUUUAAAUUUUUAUUUUAAAUUAUUUUAAAAUAAAAUUUAGUAAAAAUAUUAAUAUAUACAGGCAUCAAAAUUUUUUUGCCAAUCAGCUUUCGAAAAUCACUUUAGAAAAAUCACUUUUAUCUAAACUCAGCCAAACGCUCUAUAGCUUUACACAAAAAUCAAUUCUCCAAAUCAAAGUUACUUCUGCACAGAUCAUUUUUCUAGAAUCUAGGCCAAACAUGCCCAAAACUUGGCUACAUAGUUGAGAUAAUGAGGUCUCAAAAAAACAAGAAAAAAAAAAGUUAUUGAUUACAUAGCCACCUUUGCCUAUGCUAUUCAACCCACAACCUCACUAAGCUGCGAACAUAAGAUAGCAUCUGUUGGGACUUCUUACAUCUCUAAAACUACCUAAUUUUGAUUUAUUUCUCGUUGUGACUUUCUUACGGACGCCUCACCGACCGUCCCUAAUGCAAGUGGUAAAAGAACUUGGUGAUUGAUAUCCGAGCCCCAAUUUCGAAUCCUAGUUGAUUCACAUUUUUAGUUAAAUUUAUUUUUAAAUAAAAUAAACGAAGCGGAUAGCAUACUACCUUUUUCUCUCUCUCAAAAAAAAAAAAGAAGACUUUCUUACGGACGAUGGAUUAAGAGAUGGGCUCACUACGAGGAUCUAGAAACUGAAAUCCCGACCACAGUGAAGAUUUCCAUGUUAUUGGUGUUAAGGAGAAUGGUUCGAACAACCGAUAACCUGGAAAACGGGGUUGAAACGGUGGACCAAACAUGUGCUCUAUGAGGACGUGAGCAGAAGAUAGUGGACUACUUAUUCUCAUAUUGUGUUAUCUUCAGGUUCAUGCUAAUUGGGCUAUAGGUAUAGUUAGUCGACAGGUCGAAGCACAUCAACCAGUCAUAAAGGGCCCUUCGUUGGAGAUCUAAAGAAUUUCGGAGAAACUGCAAAUACCCCUCCGUGGUUUCGAACUUUCUCACUUUAGUACCCUGUGGUUUAAAGUUUAUCAAGUUAGUACCCUUUGGUUUCGCACUUUCUCACUUUAGUAACUUGUGGUUACAAGUGUAUCAAAUUAAUAUCCUGUGGUUUUAUUUUUGUAUCAAUUUAGUACUCUGUGGUUUUAAUUUUAUCUUUUUAUUAUCCAUUUUGAGGUAUAUAAAUAUUAAACCACAGGGUACUAAAGUGAGAAAUUGCGAAACCAGAGGGUACUAACCGAUACAUUUUAAAUCACAGAAUACUAAAGUGAAAAAGUGCGAAACUACAGGGUACUAACUUGAUACAUUUCAAACCACAGGAUACUAAAGUGAAAAAGUGCGAAACCACAGAGGGUAACUCCAAGAAUUUCCUUUCUAGUGGAAUACAUGCAGAUAAAAUUGGAAGAGGAUUAGUAAAUACAUACCGUGAAGCAGAGAAACAAACUAGUACUUAGUCAGAUAUUAAUUGAACCAGUUUCUUUUAUCAUCAUGUCGCCUUAUACACGAAAAAAGAGAAAGUAUAUUGGGGUAUAAUGUGGGCCGUGCUAGGCCACAUUUUUCGGGCCGAAACGGGCUAGUAGUCGCCCCGGCCCGGCCUAGUUUCAAUUUCAGGCCGGGCCGGGCCGUGCUUUGGGCCGCCUCUUAAAAUAUUUAUUUUUUAAUUUUUUUUAAAAAUUAUUUUAAAUUUGAUUAAAUCAUUUAAAAAUUUAUAAAAAUAAUUAUAAUAUAGUAAAUAUUUAAUUUUUUAAAAAAUAAUAAAUUUGUAUUUUUUUUUUGAAAAAAAAAAAUUGAGGAAGGCGGUAGGGAGUUCUCAGAGGAGGGUGCCAGGGAGGAGGUAGGGGCCGCCGGGGGGAGAGGUCAGGGAUGUAGAAGGGGAUGGCCGGACGAGGUGGAGGGGGAUGGCCGGACGGGGUGGGGCCUUGGAUAUGGGGGCCGGGGCCGAGGCCGAGGCCGAGGCCUUCGGUGCCGCAGCGGGGGCUGUAGGCAGAGGCGCCGCGGGAGGCCAGUGCGAGGGCCUCGGGGGCCGGCAUCGGCGCCACGGGGGCCUCGGCCAGGGGGGGCCCCGCGGGCCGGCGCGAGGGCGGGCAGGGGCCGUGGGCGGAGGCGCCGCGGGAGGCGCCAUGGGCGCUACUCCUCAAGCUCCUGGGGAGGAGGAGGAGGGCUUCCCUCCUCCCAGGAGCUUAUGCCCUAAGGCCUUGCCUUGGGCCUUAGGAGUCCGGGCCGUGCUGGCCCGGCCCAAAAGGGCCGUGCCAUGCCGGGCCGCCCGCCUCCCCUCGGCCCGCCACGACCAGACCCGUUCGGGCCGUGCCAGGCCGUUAGGCCGCAGAGGAGCGGCCCAGGACGGUCCAGAGGUUCGGGCCGGGCUGGCCCGGCACGGGUGCUACAGUACCGUCGUAGUGUAGCUCGGCCCGAGGCAAUGCCGGGCCGGGCGGCCCAUGUGCCACCCGGCCUGUUUUACACCCCUAACUAUAUAAGAUAAGUUUCAUUUAAAAACAAUAAUAUUUAAUCAAACAUAUUAUUUAUUAACAAAUAUGAUAAAAGUUUAAUUUUCUUUGACAUCGAUUCAAUUUACAGCUAUUAUCGCGCGGCUUAUAAAGAUUAAUUAGAUAUAAAUUCUAAGUAAAAUCACUAUUACAGAAAAGAUUUUCUUUGGAAAACGACACGAAGAUACUGUGCUCUGCAUCUUCCAACAGCAUUACUAUUCUGCCAAUGAUAUUAUUAGAUUCCUCAACACUAAUAAAAUUAUAGAUAACAAAAACACCUUAGUCCAAUCAACUAAGGGGGCGCCUGGUUCGCGUAAAAUGAACUGAAAAUUUAUUUUCAAUAUGAAAAAUGUAUUUCUGUUUGUUUGGUUCGAUGUAAAAAUAUUUUUCCAUAAAAGUAUUUUUAUUGAUUUGGAAAAAAAUUGAAAUUUUCGUUUUCUGUUGUUUUUCGACAGAAAACGAAAACUCAAGCGGUGUAAAAGAUUUUUCAUUUAUUUUUUUUCCACCAAACUAAACAACUGUAAAUUUUUUUUUCAACUAAACAAAUAUCGAUAAAAAAUUACUUUUUUUUCUACAAAACGUAAAAUUAUUUUUCAGCCAAAAAAAUUUUUCCAUUAAAAAAUCAUCUCUCAUGAUUUUAUGUUGAACUAAACAGAUCCCUGCGUAUGGAAACAAAGGAGGGAACAAGGGCUUAUUCUCUCCCUUGUUCCCGAACCAAACGCUACCUAAGUAGUUCCCAUUCAAUCCUUUUAAAAAAUUAAUCACCAACGAAAGCCCUUUGACUAAGUCAAUGACACUUGCAUCUUCUUUUUUUUUAUAUUUAGUUUUGCAUCUUCUUUACUUGGUGCUAAUGAUAUUUAGUGGCUUAUUGUUGAAGAGCAUCUAACUAGUGCCUGUUUGGGCAUUCUAGAGAAUCAUUUGUCUACGGGAAAAGCAGGAAUAAGCAAAUUGGUAAAAGUUCUAAAAUUUUUUGUUCGAUCAAGUUGCUCAAAAGAGCAUUUGGACCCCCAAAAAGCAAGCUUGUAAUUGAAGAUUGUGCAUUUAACUUCAUUCAAACUUAAAUUUUUAUUAGUUACUAUCUAAACAAUAUUUUUGCAGAAGCUUCAGUCUAGCUAGAUAUAUGCCAUAUUAAUAUGGAGGUAUUUAGCUAUUUAUUUGCUUCUACAAAAAUGAUAUUAAUAAACACUCCACCAAAGGAAUCAAUAUAGUUUCUAUUUCGUUUAAUAUCCAAUACCAGUUCAAUCCUACAGAUGUAUAUCUAUACUGGAAUAGGGAGCUGAAAAAGAUAUCUGGCUUCAAAUUCAAAAUCUCUUGAACUUGAACAUUUUGAUUUGAAUGAUAAACUACUUGAAAGAUUUGAAAAGGGAUAGAACUUUUUAAGAUUUUUCAAAUAACUCUACAUGAAAAAUACUUCUAUAAAAGCUCCAAUAGGGCCAAUCAUGCGUUGGUGGUAUCUACACGCUAGUAACAAGUGGUUAGAGUGAACUAUCACUCUCAAAGAUAUGGAAUACUAAAGGCAUAAGAGUUAAUAGAUAAAUACAGAUAAAAUUUCAGUUGAGAAAUGGAAUACUAAAAGCGUAAGAGUUGAUAGAUAAAUACGGAUAAAAUUUCAGUUGGAACUCCCCAACGAUGCCUCGUUGGAGAGCCGCCCUCGAUUCGCUGUCAUGUAUUAGUUUUGACUGUAUCCAAUGUUUCAUUAGGUAUUAGAAAAUACUAAAAUUCAAAAAAAAUUUAAACAUUAGAGGAAAGGAUUAUUACUCUCGGCUAGAGAUAAUAGUGAUAUGCGAUGAUGUAUUGGGACUCGUUAACAAGGCGUUGUUAGCGAACUCCCCACUAAAAGCAAAGUUUUUUUUUUAAAAAAGCUAAAAUAUAAAUUUUGGUUUAGUGUUGUAAUUGAAUCCGGUGCCUUUGGAAUAAUCUAGUUGGACCCGAAAGUAAGGUCCACCUACGUCUUUUUUGAUUCUUAAGCAUGUUGAUGUGAUCCACCACUUCACCAUAUCAAUGAUUUUGUUGAAAUUAAUACUAAUUAAAUUUAAUUUUGGUCGAUACCUCAUCGUUUUACAUUUCCAGUCCUCUUAGUAAUUUAUUGUGGUAAUUAAAUUGAUUUAUACAACACUAAAUCCUUAUUUUUUUAGAAAUCUACAAAAACAUGAUUUUUUUUUUAAUACUCAGAAUAUUAUUUUAUAUUACAAUGCGAAAAACUCGGAAUAUUAUUUUAUAUUACAAUGCGAAAAACUAAUAAAUAUCCAGUUGCUUAUCUCGAAAAUUAGUUUCUAAAGAGGUGUUUGGUUCGUUGGAAAAGCGUAGAAAAAAUUUUUUCGAAAAAAAUUUCUCCAUGAAAAAUCUCUUUUUCAGCUUUUCGUCCAUUUAAUUAAUUUCAAGAAAAAAUAAUUUUUUAAAAAAAUUUAUUUUUCAAAUUUCAUGACAAAUUAAUAUUUUUGUUUUUCAAAUUUUUUUAGAAAAACGAAAAUACUAAUUUUUCAUAAAAUUUGGAAAGUUUUCAAAAAAGUAAGUUCUUUUUAAACCAAACGUACAGAAAAUUGAAAAAGAAAAUUCAUAAAAAAAAUUUUGGAAAAAAUUUUUCCACGCUUUUUCCAAGAACCAAACAACUCCUAAAUGUUGCAUUUGUAUCAAGUUAAUAUAACUAAAGACUUCUAUUGAACUCCUUUUAAGUUCUUUUAGGAAAAAUGCAUGGAUCAAACUACUCUGGAAUUUUAGUUUGUGCCUCUAUAUAUAAAGGUAGUAAUAUAUUAAGUAAAAGUUAUUAUUAAGUAUAAAGGUACUUAGACCAAUAUCCAUAAAGUAGAAGUUUAUAUUAAAUAGAUUUUUUUUUUGAGAGAUUAUAUUAAAUAGAUUUAGUAUUAGCUUGUUGCUAACUUGCUAUCUACACUUACAACACUUGGUAAAACUUAACCUUAUCUAGCAUUAGCUCGUAAUUUCGGUAUCUUUAAUAGAAUUUAAUUUGCAAUUGACGUAUCAUUGUUUAAAAGUUAAAACAAACAAAUAUUCACCCACUCAUUAAAUUUGAUGUAUAAUAUCUGAAAUAUCUUUAUUGAGAAAUCAUUUGUUGUAAAGUAAGCUCAAUUAAAUAGAUUCCUUAGACCACCCUUUUGAAUGGGAACUUGCGCAAUGCGUCAUUCCUCGUGUGUCAUGCCUCGUGCGUCAUGCCCCCAUCUUCUCAAAAUAAUUCAGCUCGUGACAUUCAUAAAAAGUUAGAAAAAUGUUGUACAAACACUACAACAAAAAUGGUCUAUAGCGACACUUUUAAAUAUAAGUACAUGUCAAAAAAGUGCUACUAGCUAAAAUUACCGACACUUUUAAAAAGUGUUGCUAUAUGUGAGGUCGCUAGGUAUAUAGUGACAGUUAAAGAGUGUCGCUAUAAUCUAAAAAAGUGCUGCUAAUUUACCAACACUUAUUUAAGUAUUUAGCAAUCCCUGAAACUCUAUCUCGUUGGCUGCGGUGGCGGAGGAGGACGACAGUAAAGGCUCUUCGUCUAGAAUUUCAGUGGAUUGAGUGAAGAGAGAAGAAAAGAUGGUAAUUAAUUUUUCUUUUUUUUUUCUUUUUUAUUUGUAAUCAGACCAAAUGAACUGGGUGUGGUGGAUUGAGUAGAGUAAUCUUUUAUUUUUGGUUGGAUUGGACUUUAUAUUUAGGCAUUAGUAGAUGUGUUUUUAAGUUUUAGUAUAAAUGAAACACUUACUCAAAAGUGUCCCAAACAUGUGUCCCUAUAACUUAAUUCUGUUGUAGUGAUUUUUUGAAUUAAUAGUUGGCAUUCUAUCUCGUAGAUGAGGGUCAGAUUGAAUCGAAUCAUAAAGGUUAAAAUGAACUUGAGGGACUAUUAAUUUAACUUUGGACGUGCAAUUUGCAAAGACCGUACCGUAAAAUAGGAUAAGGAGGAAUAAGAACGUCAAUUAUUAACCAACCUAUCGAGGAUGCAGCAGUCUCCAUCUGCGUAAGGAAUAUAACUUCUUGUGUGGACCUCUUCUUACGUGAUUUUGCAUUUUCCCGCUCGUCACUCGUGUAGUUCACCAUGCGCAUCGAGAAAUUAAUGCCUAGACUACUUGGUGCACCACGUUAGUCAUGUAAAUGUAAGACUAUUACGAGAUUUAUAAGUUUUUAGCUGUUCCCGAUCACCAAUAAAAUAAAUUAUUUGCAAUAUUCUCUAUUACAGCUAACUAAUUAAGAAAAAUACAUGCAAUUAUAGCUGAUGCAUUUUUAACGGAAGGUGCACGGGAUGACGUGGUGCACUUGGCGCAAGCAAAAGUUGAUCCUGAAUAUCUAUCCUGCCUAUAAAUAUCGCGCCAAAUUAGCCGUUUAAGCAAACAACAACAAGCAAAUAUAUAUAUCUGAGUUAAUAUUUCUUCUCUAGUCCGAAUAUAUAAUCUACUACACCUCGAGGCCGCCAUGGUUCACUUCAUGCACAACAAACGCCAGAUGACGAUGGAAGAGUUCCAGAGGUGGCUGAAGGUCGUCGACGCCAACGGCGACGGCCAGAUCAGCCGAAAGGAGCUCGAAGACGCGCUCCGCACGCUCGGGGUGCACUCGGUCCACCUCAGGGCCUGGUUCGCGGUCCAGAAAGCCGACCUCAACCACAACCGCGCCGUCGACGGCGAUCAGGAGAUCAAGAAGCUCACUGCUCAUGCGGAGAAGCACUGGGGGAUCGUCCUGGUCACUAAUAACUAGUAUCCGUGCAUGCGUGUGAACGCACGUACGGAGACAAUCGCGCAUCUUCGAUUAGUCACCAGUUAGUAAUUAAGCUACUAUUUUGCAUGGUUUUAUCUACGUCUGACCUAAGUAGCGUGUGAACUAUAUAGUUUUAAGUGCGUGGUGCAGGUACGUAGUUAGUUGCUGCUUCUUAAGGUACGUAGCAGUGUAUGUAUGUGAUGUGUGGUUGCUCAAAAAAGCCUGAGCAUAUCAUAUAUAUAUAUAUAUAUAUAUGUUCACUGUUGCUUAUAUUAAACUUUGCAUCCCAGUUUAUCGGAUAUUUACUUUUUCCUUAUAAUUUUUUUAACCUGCUUUCUCAUUUGGUUUCCCCCUCCCCUUACUUUUUAAUUGCUAUAACCUGGAUUUUGAACUGUCGAAUUAUUUGGUACUAACCAUUAAUCCUAAAAUCUCGAACGGUUAGAAAUAUACGACUAUUCAUUUAAAAAAUACAGAUACAGCGUUCUCGGGUUUCGAGGACUUGGCUUAACUAGUCUCACUAGGGAUGUCAACGGGUCGGAUUCGAGGCAGAUUUUUAAAAUUCCGAACCCGACCAAAAACCCGAAACCCGAUUCUCCAAGUUUCAAAAUUUCGAAACAUAUUAUAAAAAACACUAGUUCUAAAAUACAUAUUCAAAUACAACAUUAAACAUUUAUGCCAUAUAAUAACUACAUCCAAAUAUAAAAAAUAUAAACUUAAAUAAUUAAAAACAGUAAUACAAUUUUUAAAUAUUUAAUAAAAAAUUUUAAAAAUUUGAUAGUUCCAUUCCCCAAUAAUCCAUAAAAAUGAAGAGACUAAAGUUAAAAAUACUAAGGAAAAAACGAAAUAAAAAAUUUCUAAAAAGUUAAAAAGGAAAAUAAAGUUCGAUUGCCCAACAAUCCAUAAAAACUAAGAGAUUAAAAUUAAAAAGUGAGAAAAAAAAAACACAUAAAUAUUAAAAAUCUAAGAAAGUAAGAAACCCACAUCAAUUUUUUUUAAAAAAAUUCUUACCUUCUUUCUCUUAGAUUUGAGUUUAUGAUUCUUAGUGAGGAAGCAACAAGCUAAAGAAGCUAACGAGAGAAUGGCCACCUUCUUGGCCUCUUGGGAAUGGGGAGGAAUUAAAAGGGAGAUACAAGCAUCCUCUCUUUUGAGGCUUUUACAAUUAGGGUUUGGGAAGGCUUUGACUACUAGGAUUUCGGUUAUAAAAGUACGAGUUUUUUUGGCAUUUAAAUUCAGAUCUAAUGGUUUGAAUUUUUUUUAUAUAUUGCAUUAUAGUAAAUUUAUUCGGAUUCAAAUUCAGGUUCGGGUUGGGUUCGGGUUCGGAUUCGGAUGUUUUUUAAAUAUCCAUAUCCGAACCCGAAUCUGUCGGAUUUUUUUUUUAAUAUCCAUAUCAAAAUCUAUAUUUAUUUACAUCGGGUAAAAUCCGCUCCGUUCGGAUUCGGAUUCGAAUUCAGAUUCGGAUAAAAUUCAGGUAUCCGUAUCCAUUGACAUCCCUAAGUCUCACGCUUCAGAUAUGACUUGGCCUAGUCUUGUCUCUUGUCAUUUUGAAUGUGGCUCGGUCAAAAUUUGAUCUUUGGCCACAUAGCAGAUUGUUUGUCACUUUAGACCAACAUAACCAUUAACCCAUCCUACUGUGUAUGUAUGCAAAAGUCCAUAUUUCAGUUUCCUGAAAAAGCUAGAAUUUUAGUAUAAUUUCGUGGCGAAAUUGCUUUGGUAUUAUAUAUGGUGUCCACAUAUAUAGUGAGUGAUGCAACGUCAAAAUUAAGAAAAAGUAGAGAAAAGCAUGAAUUAAUUUUCUUUUCCUCUCUCCAACAUUUUCUCUCCACGUAUAAAAGGAAUAAUUAGGCAAAAAUAUGUUCUCAAAUUGAUGGAGCAAAUAGAAAAAGGCAACUCCUUGGGCCUGAAAUAGCACUCAACUAAGUCCAAGAAGAACUCUAAUAGAUCCUUCUGUUUGGCCCGGAUUGUCUGUUUUGCAAGCUAAGGCUUAGUUUGGUAUUGCAUUUAUUUUAUUUUUUUUAAAAAAUAUCUUUUAGAUUGUUUAUGUUUUGGCUUUUGGUAGUAAAAUAAUCUUAAAAAAUAUUUUUUAUUUUAUUUUUAUAACAAAAUAUUAAAUCUAAUAGCUGUAGCGGAGAAUCAAAUAAUUUUUUUUUUUGAGAAAAAGGUAGCACGCUAUCCGCUUUAUUCAUUGAUUUGAUGAAAUAAAAAAAAAUCUUAACCAAGUUAGGACGCGAGGAUCAGGUCCCACCCCUUCACGAGAAUCAAAUAAUUAAAAAAGAGAGACCGACCGUCCCUAAAGCAAGUGGUAAAGGGCUUGGUGGUUGGUAUCCGAGACUCAAGUUCGAAUCCUAGUUGAUUCACAUUUCCAGCUAAGUUUAUUUCUAAAAUGAAAUAAACGAAGUGGGUAGCGUGCUUCCUAUCUCUCUCAAAAAAAAAAAAGGAAAAAAAGAGAGAGACCAACUGUCCCUAAAACAAAUGGCAAAGGGCUUGGUGGUUGGUACCCGAGACCUAAGUUCGAAUCCUGAUUGAUUCACAUUUUUAGCUAAGCUUAUUUCUAAAUGAAAUAAACGAAGCGGAUAGCGUGCUAUUUAUCUCUCGAAAAAAGAAAAGAAAAAAAAAAAAGAGAGAAUGAGAAUAAGACAAGCUAAUUAACCCGGAUAGGAGGAGGAGAAGGGCGAUAAUUUUAAAAUAAAAGAAUAAUUUUUAAAAGUAGAACAUAAAAAUAUAUAUGAUAUCAGGCAUGUUCUUUUUCAAAAGAAAACUCUGAUUUUGUUUUUAAAAGUAAAAAAACUAAAAACAGAAACGAUACAAAACGGAGCCUAUCGGAUUUGGUAUUUUUGCUACUUCUUGUAUAAAACUCAAAUGAUCAAACUAAUUAAUAACCUCGAUUUGGUGUUUGUACUUCUACUACAGAGAGAACUCUCUCCGAUGGGAUAUAAUAAGCUUCGAUUUGGUGUUUGUACUUCUACUGCAAAGUGAGAUUACGUUCCCUUUCUUUUUAUUUCUUUUUUCUUUCUUGUUUUGUGUAUAUUGUACAACUACAACAGAAUUAGGUUAUAGGGACACAUAUUUUGGACACUUUUGAGUAAGUGUUCCACUUAUGCUAAAACUUAAAAACACAUCUACUAAUGUCUGAAUAUAAAGCCCAAUCCAACCAGAAAUAAAAGAUUACUCUACUCAACCCACCACACCCAGUCCAUUUGGCCUGAUUACAAACAGAAAAGAAAAAAAAGAAGAAAAAUCAAUUACCAUCUUUUCUUCUCUCUUCACUCAAUCCACUGAAAUUCUAGACAAAGAGCCUUUACUGUUGUCCUCCUCCACUAUCGCAGCCAACAAGAUAGAGUUUCGGCGGUUGCUAAAUGCUUAAAUAAGUGUUGGUAAAUUAGCAGCACUCUUUUAGGUUAUAGCGACACUUUUUAACUGUCACUAUAUACCUAGCGACCCCACAUAUAGCAACACUUUUUAAAAGUGUCGGUAAUUUUAGCUAGCAGCACUUUUUUGACAUGUACCUAUAUUUAAAAGUGUCGCUAUAGACCGUUUUUAUUGUAGUGGGUCUUCAAAGAAUCUUAUGAGAAAUUAGCCAUGAUAUAUCUUAUUCAUUCAUAAUAUUUAACAUCAAACAAGUGCAAUUCCAUACGCACGUUAUGGGUGGUACAAUUUUGUGGUUGUUGGCUGCAUCAUAAUCGCGGAAGCUGGUGGAAAAUGGGCGGAUGUUGUUGUCGCAGACCGCAACGCUUAGAAUAAAGCCUGGCGAGUGGGCUCGGAAAAAUUGGGUCCUAAUUAACCCAGUAACUGUACACAUUUUGCACAAGAUCAAAUUAACCUCACGCGAAGUUAACGGGCGAACCAGGACCAGAUCUAAAUCAAGUUGCGUGAUUUGGGUUUAUGUUUAAUUUCAUCCAUCCUCGUUUGGUGUAAUUUUGAGAUCACGAUGUAACUCUCUAGAGGAAGAAGCUUUUUGAUCACUUGAUUAAAUGAAUCCAUAUUUACUUUAUUUAAUUCAUUAAUGACAGCGACAUCGACAGUACUUUUUUUUUUUUUUUUGAGAGAGAUAGGUAGCACGUUACCCGCUUCGUUUAUUUCAUUUAAAAAUAAUUUUAAUUAGCUAGAAAUGUGAAUCAAGUAGGAUUCGAACUUGAGAUCUCGGAUACAACCAUCGACAGAACUAAUUAAGACUAUCAUAGGCACAGGCACAGGCGCAGGGCUAAACUAUCAUGACAUUGAUCAUCGGAAAAGUCAUCACGAUCUUUAGAUAAUUCUCAACACGAAAACAUUCGCCGUAGAAGCUCCAACGUAGCCAAAUGUUUCUUUUUUUUUUUUAGAGAGACAGGUAGUACGUUACCCGCUUCGUUUAUUUUAUUUAGAAAUGAACUUAACUGGAAAUGUGAAUCAAUUAGGGUUACAACAUAGUCAAAUGUUAUUGGAAAAAAAUGGAGGUACCCUAAAUCAUAAAUUUGAACUUACCACUACUUUUCCACCUAAGCAGUAAAAUAGAAUAAUCCUAUAUUGGCCUUCACGCAAAUAUCACGUCAAACGAUUCAUGAGGUGGAAAGUUAACAAAAGAAAAAAGAAAAAAAAAAAAAAAUCCUGCGGACUUUUGAAUGGACUUUCACUUCCGGGGUUGUGCAGCAUCUCAAAAAAGAUGCACGCAAACAAGAUAAUGGAGAAUAAAGUUAAUUAGUUGCUGUUCCUUUUCUCACCCGAUUUUCUUUGUUCAAAUUAAGGACCAAAUCCGGUCAAGCCCACCACACAAGAGUUGUUUAUUAAUUGUUCUCUCUCUGUAUAUACCCAAACUUGCAAUUUGAUUCUUAUACUUUUCACAUAAACACUUACAAAGCCCAAGAUUUAAAAAAUAAUGACUACUUUUUAAAUAUCAUUAAACAUUAUCUAAUGUUUCGAAACUAACAUGUAACAUAUUUAAAAGUUCAGGGACUAGAGAUUUUAAAUUGUGGGAACCAGGUUUUGCGCCACUUGAGAAAAACGUGUUCGUGCUCGAUUGUUAAAUUAAUAAAAGGCCUCAAUUGGCCUCUCCUCUAUUCUCAAUUAGCUUAAGAGAACAUUAAUUGGUGAAGUUAACCAUGGCCUUCAUGUGUUACCGGGUGCUUCCGCAGAGAGAGAUGAGCAUCGAAGAGUUCAAAGCGUGGCUGAAGCAGUUCGACGCGAACCGCGACGGGCGGAUCAGCAGGGAGGAGCUGCAGCAGGCGCUGCGCAGCCUGCACGCGUGGUUCGCGUGGUGGAAGGCUCGCGAGGGGGUGAAGGAAGCCGACGCCGACCGGAACGGGCUCGUCGAUAAGGAGGAGAUCGGCAGGCUGGUCGGAUACGCGCAGAAGCGUCUUCAUAUGAAGAUCAACGAUUACGAUUACUACUAACAAAAGGAAAAUCUUGAUAUUUUUUUAAAAUCCAAACAUUAAGGAAUUGUUUUGUUUAAGAGUUUUGCACCUAGAUAUUGUUAUGUUAAACAUACUCCUGUAAAAUUUAAACAACCAAUUUCCUCCUUGUUGUAACGAAUAUAAUAGCAUGAUAGACGACUUGCUUUGCUCUAUCCUCUAUGUAUUGUAUGGCUGAUACUUAGAACAUAUUUGUUUUGCGUAAAAUUUUAUUAAGGAAUUAAAAAAGAUUAUGAUAAGAUCAUUUGAACUCCUACUCAUAGCAUUUGGAUCAACCGUGCAAAGUCGAUUGUGAAACGCGUGAACCCCACACCCUUCGUCCUAACAAAACAAAUAGACCCUCACAUGCAUGUUUGGCUUAGGAGCAAAUUAAACGAAACAAAUCGAGGCGUAAUAUUAUAUCCCUAUAGUUUCACAUCAGAUGAAAAAAUAAUUCUGAUUCCCACAUCACAUUAGUCCAACGAGUUAUUAUUGUUAGCUGUUCAGAUCGAUACAAAUAAACAUUAUAAGAUAGUACACUGUUUAUUUUAAGUUGACAACCCAAUUUUCAGCAAGUUCAUUCAUUCUACUACUAUUCUUGCCCCAACAAAUUUAAAUAUUUAAAAUAUAAAUUUAUAUUAAUAGCCUUAUUUUUGGCUAGGAAUUUUAAUUUGAACUUUGAAAUCAAAUUGUUCCAAAUUAUAAAUUCAAAUUAUUGAUUGAAACUUGAAUUCAAAAUUUAAAUUUUUACUUUAAAAUUCAAAUUCAAAUUUAAGUUUGCAUUUUGAAUUUAAUUUCAAUAAUGAGUUUCAUUUUGAACUUUGAAUUCGAAUUAUAAGUUUAAAUGCUCAAUUUGAGUUAUGAUUUAAACUUAAUUUUUAAUUUAAAAUUUAAAAUUUAAUUCAAAUUGUGAAUUCAUAUUUGAAUUUAGAAUUUAAGGUCAAAUAGUAAAUUAAAAUUUUUAUUCAAAUCAUAAAUUCAAAUUAUAAAUUCAAUUUUGAAUUAAGGUUUUAAUUAUUAUAUUGAAAUUUGAUUUUUUAAUUUAAUUUCAGUUAUGAAUGAUCUAAAUUUAAUUAUAUGUCUUAAAUUUUAAUUAUAAAUUCAAAUCAGAUUUAAGUCUAAAUUUAAAUUUCAAAAAUUCAAAUUAUUGAUUGAAACUUGAAUUCAAAAUUUAAAUUUUUACUUUAAAAUUCAAAUUCAAAUUUAAGUUUGCAUUUUGAAUUUAACUUCAAUAAUGAGUUUCAUUUUGAACUUUGAAUUUGAAUUAUAAGUUUAAAUGCUCAAUUUGAGUUAUGAUUUAAAUUCAAUUUUUAAUUUAAAAUUUAAAAUUUAAUUCAAAUUGUGAAUUCAUAUUUGAAUUUAGAAUUUGAGAUCAAAUAGUAAAUUAAAAUUUUUAUCAAAUCAUAAAUUCAAAUUAUAAAUUCAAUUUUGAAUUAAGGUUUUAAUUAUUAUAUUGAAAUUUGAUUUUUUAUUUUAAUUUCAGUUAUGAAUUAUCUAAAUUUAAUUAUAUGCUUUAAAUUUUAAUUAUAAAUUCAAAUCAGAUUUAAGUCUAAAUUUAAAUUUUAAAUUUUGAAUAUAAAUAUAAAUAUUUAAUUUAAAUUACGAGCAUAAGUCGCGCGUUUUUUGUAUUUAUACUUCUUUAUAUGUAAACGAAUAAUUGAAAUCACAAAACUAUAAUUUUUAUGUUUUAUUUUAUAGUCAAUAAAACAAGGGAAACUUCAAAUACCCCCCUUGUGGUUUCACUUUUUCUCACUUUAGUACCAUGCGGUUUAAAGUGUAUCAAGUUAGUACCCUGUGGUUUUGCACUUUUUUACUUUAGUACCAUGUAGUUUAAAGUGUAUCAAGUGAACACCCUGUAGUUUCACAUUUUCUCACUUUAGUACCAUGUGGUUUCGUAAUUUCUCACUUUAGUACCCUGUGGUUAUCCUGUGGUUUAAAAAUCACAGGGUACUAACUUGAUAUAAAAAUAAAAUCACAUGAUGCUAAUUUGAUACAAAAAUAAAAUCAUAGGGUACUAAUUUGAUACACUUUAAACCACAGGAUACUAAAGUGAGAAAGUGCAAAACCACAGGGUACUAACUUGAUUCACUUAAAACCAAAGGGUACUAAAAUGAAAAAGUGCGAAACCACAGGGGGGGUUUUGAAGUUUUCCCGUAAAACAAUCUAACUCAAAAGUCACUUUUAAAAAAGUUAUUUUUAUAAAAAUUAUUUUUUUUCACUUCAAUCAUUUUUGGAUAACCAAACAUACGCUAAUUAAGACCUCCUGGAUUUCUCUUUCACCGGCGUGUUUUUUUUUUGAGAAAAGGUAGCAUGCUACCGCUUCUUUCGCCGGCGUGUUUUUCUUCCUUGGUUUCGACGGUUUCUCUUGCAAUCUCCCAUCGACUCCUCUAUUCUUCAUCGACUUGUUGAUCUCAAAGGGACUACUUGCACCGUCCAGAAAGCCCGGAGCUCACCACUUUGUCAGACGAAAAUUGAUCGGAUAUGCACCAAAUUCAUGUGGACACAUGUAAAGGACAUAUCCAAAUUCAUGUGGACACAUGCAAAGGCUAGAUAAGUACACAAUUUAUCUUUUUCAUUAUUCUCGAUUCCCUGUCAUCUUUUUCCUGCAAAUUUCGUUCAAUCAGUGUGUUUUGCCAAAACAGGUACAUAAGAUGCAACAUGAAUGUUCUACACACUAAUCAGCCAGUAAUGGACUUAGCCUAAUCCCUGAUCUGACCCAGGCCCAGCUGAAACGUUUUUCACGAUUGUAAUUUACCAGUCAAAAUGAAAAAAAAAAAAAAAAGAAAAAAAAGAAAAAAAAGAGAGAGAGAGAAAAAGUAUUCUCGUGCUCUAAUUUGAAGAAAAAAUCUUGCCCAAAAAUCCAAUCAUUUCAAAAGUAGAGAAUCCUAAAGUUGAUUUUUUUUUUUUUUCUCCAACCUAAUUUGGGCAUCUGAUUCUCCCUCCACUUUUCAAAUCUACGCUUUUGUACCAGCACCACUGGGCUUUCCGUGGGCAUCACACAUCGAUGAUCAUCGAUCAUGUGGUGAUUAAAACCCUUCCUUUAAAUGAUUCUCAAUCUUUCCCGCAUGAUCAAAUAGAAUUGUAUACUAUUCCAACUUUGCCUGCCGCCCACUCCCCCCAGAUUCUCGCUUGUCCGGUACGUUUCGUUCGCUUUCUCGCCAAAUUUCUUGUCUUAAUGGAGGCUCAAUCAACGAAAAAUAUGAUUUAUAAGGAAGGAAUAAAGUACACAACAUGCUUUUUCGGCAUAUAAAUCCCUAGAAGUGUAAGUACUAGUGCUGCACAGUCGAAGGGAUACUUAGGGUUUGUUUUUUUGUGUGUGUGUCGAGCGGUAAGUGAGAGAUGGCGAUCAGGAACGUGAACAAUGCGCCCCGAUCGGUGGACGGGGACAUGACGAUGGACGAGUUCAAGGAGUGGCUAAAGAGGUUCGACGUGGACAAGGACGGGCGUAUCAGCCGCGAGGAGCUACAGCGCGCCAUCCGCUCCGUCCGCGGCCGCUUCAGUGGCUGGAAGUGCGGUCGUGGCAUCCGCCGCGCCGAUGUAGAUGGUAACGGAUACAUCGAAGAGGAUGAGAUCGAUAAUCUCGUGGAGUUCGCCCAGAAGAGGCUUGGCGUGAAGAUCGUGUCCUAUUAAUUUACUUUCAGAUCAUGCGAGGUAAGUAAUAUCUACGGUGGUGUUAUUAACAAAGCCAAAUUUGCUAUUAACAGAGAGAUUCACUGAAUUCACAGACGUUUAGUACAUUUGAACGAUUCAAUGAAUCUAGUAUGUAAAUAGUUAAAAUUGGCUUUGCUGGGAACACCAUCUAAAGUAACUGGGGCAAGAAAAUAAGAAUUCCAAGACAAUAAAUAUAAUCCUAGUGUGGUGAAUUUGUGAUUGUAAUAGAGCUCUAACUGCUAUAAUUAAGAUAGGUUAACUGUAUUGUAAUCACCUCUUUUCUCCCUUGUGUGGUUUGUACCAUGUGUGGAUUAAGUUGCUAUUAUAAAGUUGGUGUUUUUCUUUUACUUUGUGAAUAUUAAUUACUGUGUUUUCCCUUUCAUUUUAUUCUCCUUAAAUGGUAAUGUUAUCAUCAUAAUCCAUCUACUUUUGUUCUUUAACUCUUAAUGCAUAUAUAAUAUUCUUGAAGCAGAUAUAAGUAGAUCAUAAUGAAAUUAGGUGAAAUCACAAAUUUUUUUUUUUUUUUUUUUUUGAGAGAUAGAUAGCACGCUACCCGCUUCGUUUUAUUUCAUUUAGAAAUAUACUUAGCUGGAAAUGUGAAUCAACUAGGAUUCGAACUUGGGUCUCGGGUACCAACCACCAAGCCCUUUGCCACUUGCUCUAGGGACGGUCGGAUACAAAAAGUUAGAUUGCUUUUAGCUGAGAUGGUGCAACUGUACAAAAUUGGGACUUACAUGGACAAAGGAGUAGUUUGAGAUACUUCCAAAUGAACAUAAAUAGUUAAGAGACCUUUUAUGAAAUCUCAAAUAUUUGAAGGACUAAUUUGAAAAAAACAAAAAACAAAAAACAUANGAAAUAUACUUAGCUGGAAAUGUGAAUCAAAUAGGAUAUAGAAAAUAAAUCUCGGGUACCAACAACCAAGCCAUUAGACACUUGAUCUAAGAGACGAAACGAUACAUAAAAAUGAGUAUUGCUAUAAUUAAACUCGUAUUGAUAGUGCAACUGUACUAAAAAUAAAAUAAUAAAAAGACAAAGGAUAUAGAAUGAGAUACUUACAAAUAAAAAUAAAUAAUUAAGAGAAAUUAUAUGAAAUAUAAAAUAUAUGUAUACGAGCUAAUAUCAAGCCAAAAACGAAAAAACAAAAAACAGAACGUGUAAGGACUCGAAUUAACUUAAACGAGCGAGACGAUGGCGAGCUCAUUUCGAGCCGAACACGAGCUGGCUCGCGAACAGCGAGCUGUAUUGCCACCCCUAAUGACAACAAAGCUUAUUGAUUGACACUUUAACAAGAAUAGCCCAAUGGGCUUUUCCCUCAAUCCACAACUUCUCCGCCUUUUAUUUCACAAAAAGGCACAGGUAAUUAAUAUUAUGGGUAUUUUAUAUCUGUAAAAAGUUACAUAGAAGUAUAGUUAAUGAGUCAGUUUCUAAUUAUAAUGCAAUAACAAACUAUAUAUAAAACUAGCUUGUAAAUUAGUUUUUCGGAGAUCAUGUUUGUCUCGAAUGGAUGUUAUUAUAAAAAUUAAAAUCUAACUUAUCAACUGCAUUUUCAAUACUGAUCUUGUAGUAUUACUUUUUGAUAUUCAAAUAAACUUCGCAAAAUAUUAAACGACCAAAAUCACUUGUUUGACUAUUGACCACCAAUAAUUGCUUCUUACUUCAUCAAAAGCUUUGUACCUAGGCUAGCCAGGGUACUUAGGUAUAGGGACGAAACUAGCACUCGAUUAUGAAAGAGGCCAAAAAUAUAUACAAAUCAAAAUUUUAGCAAAUAAACAAAAUUUACUUAGUCAAAUUUUUGAUGAAAAAAUAUAUUGACUAAAUAAUUAGUGUAAAAAAGCAUUACCCAUUUUUUAUUUAUACUUACUUAACUUCUAAUUAUUUUAUUUAUAUUAUUUUACUCAAUAAUAGUAAAAUGACUAUUAGUUGACAGAACUAUUAACUUUAAUAUAACCUUUAAUUUAAUUAAAUAAAAAAGUAUCUAAAAUAAUUAGAAAUUAUGAAGGUACUAAACAAAAAAAUAAAUAAAUAAACUCAGAGUUGAGAGAGCAUUAUAUUAGCGCUAAAUUUUUUAAAAAUAAACAGGUUACUCAUCAUAGUUUUAAAAUUAAAUAAAAAAAAUAUUUUUUAAUUUUUUUAUAUAAAAAAGACUAUUAUGCAAAUUAUAAAAUUUUGGGGGGGCCAUGGCCCCCCCUCGGCCUCAACAUAGCUCCGUCCCUGCUUAGGUACAAUUUAAUCAAGGUAUUGUGAUAAUCACCAUAUAUAGUGCCAUAUACUAUUCCUUGGAAAUUACACUCUAUUAUUUUCUAUGUAUAGGGUGAUUAACAAGGUCGUUUGUGUCUCUUUUUUUACGUUUAAGCAACCUCAUAUGUGCUUCUCUUACACGUAAGAAAAAGUUGUUACCCACUUAUGAGAUGGUGCAAUCAUUUUACAACACAAAAUUAUUCUUAUGGGCAAUUUUGAGUUGAUCCUGAAUUUUUAAUUAAUUUUGACAAUUAGAUUUUGUAAAUUUUAUCAAAAAUUUAAUAUGCCUAGUAUAAUCAAAUUUACUAGUCGUUUUGAUCGUAUGUCUUGUAUACAAUCUUAUAAAACUUUAAAAUACAAAAAAAAAGAUUAAUUUUUCUAUUUUAAUUUAAAAAAAAAAGAUUCCAGAAAUUAAAAGCAGGCUCAUUCUAUUCUUUGAAGCCUCAUGCUUGUCAAAGUUCGAAGAGAAAAAAAAAUGUUUCUUCACAAUUAAUUAGUCUUACAAUAUGAUGUGCAUAAUAUGCAAUAAUAACGGCUAUAUAAUUAAUAACUUUGAUCGAGAAAAUGAGUCUAUUAAAAUAUUUUAUAAAAUUUAGGGAGUCUAUUUGCCUAAAUUAAAAGCCUAUGCAUCUAAAUGCAAAAGAGCUAACGCUUAAGGGGUCUUUAUGCCUUUUUUUUGUGAAAAGUAAAUAAACUCGUACUUGGGGUAAUUAAUAUAAUUGACUUUUAUAUUAGAGAACCGCUUGUAUAUUUAUACGAUUUGAUCAAAUCUAAUGUAUCUACUGCAUAGAUAACAAAACAUACAUGGUAAAUUUAUAUUUGUUUCACCAUAAUUCAAGGACUAGGGCCCACUCCAACUGUAGAUUUGGAUUUAAUAGUUUACACAAUGCAUAUAUCUUUGCCCCAAAACGAACAACUUUAAAAAAUAAUUUUACUUAUGCAUUUAUAGAAUUUGAUUGUGUCGCCACUACAACAAAAACGGUCUAUAGUGACACUUUUAAAUGUCGUUAUAAGUCAAAAAAAAGUGCUGCUUACUAAAUUACCGACACUUUUAAAAAGUGUUGCUAUAUAUGGGGUGGCUAGAUAUAUAGUAACAGUUAAAGAGUGUCGCUAUAACAUAAAAAGAGUGCUGCUAAUUUACUAACACUUAUUUAAGCAUUUAGCAACCGCCGGAACACACCUCGUUGGCUGCGGUGGCGGAGGAAGAGGAGAGGGAAGGGCUCUUCGUCUAGGAUUUCAGUAAAUUGAGCGAGGGGAGAAGGGGAGAUGACAAUCGAUUUUUCUUUUUUUUUUCUUUUUUGUUUGUAAUCGGGCCGAAUGGGCUGGAUGGGAUUGGUUGAGUAGAAUAAUCUUUUAUUUUUGGUUGGAUUGGGCUUUAUACUUAAGCAUUAGUAGAUUUUUUUUAAGUUUUGGCAUAAAUGGAACACUUACACAAAAGUGUCCCAAACAUGUAUCGCUAUAAUCUAAUUCUGUUGUAGUGAUAAAAUAAAUUAUUUUAUUUAAUCAUAAUCUUAAAUUGUUUAGGUUAAAAUUUUCUUUGAUUGCAGUCAGCUGAUUUGAUAAAAAGAAAUAGCAAAAAACUAUAGUAGAUUAAUUGAUUAUGUUUAAUUUGCAGGUUUGUUAAAAUUUAAAUUAUUUUAAAAUUUUAAAUCUGUUAAUAAUUAUAAAAAUUAUCUUAUAAUGGUUGUUUUAUAUGUAGACACACUUUGAAAACAGAAAGGGCAAUGUUGGAAAAAAAAAAAAAAAAAAAAAAAAAAANAUAUAUAGAUCUUAAUUCUUUAAUUAAGCUCUAAAAUUUUAUUUCAUGUGGAAAUAUGUGACAUUCAUUUUCUCAAAACAAAACACAUAUGGAACAAUAGUUUCUCUUCUCUUUAGAGAUAAAGCUCAUAGGGGUUCUCUUUCGUAGUGAUAUGUUUUUUUUUUGAGAGAUCUUUCGUAGUGAUAUGUAAUGAGACAUAAUUAAGAUAAGAACAUGAAUAUUAGUAGUACUAUUAAUUGAUAAUUAAUUGGUCUGACACAUAAUUUGUUCCUUCCACUGUUCCACCACUACCAAAUAAAACCAUCCUAGAAUGAAAAAGCAAAAAAAAAAAGAAAAAGAAAUAACGCUCGUAACCUUAGAAUCAAACACGCAUCUAAGCACUCCCAAAUAUAAUAAUAUAUAAUAAUUAACAUUAAACAUCGCCACAAACAAGCAGCUGUGCUACCAACAUGGGAGACCAAGAGAGAGAGAUCCCAUUGGGGUUAAGUCACUUUUGACCGCUCCUUAAAGCUCCACGUGGAAGCACUCCCACCGUACCACGUGUCCCCCAAAUUUCGGGCUCUGCAUGUGAGUGACAACCGUACCAUUUUGCGUGGGAACAAUAGUAAAAGCUAACACUUUUUUUGCAUUAUUUUUUUGAGAAAAAAAGCAGCACGCUACCUACUUCAUUUAUUCAGAUAAUAAAUUUAAUUAUAUAGAGUGAGACAGUAAGGGCCUCAAGAGAAAGAAAAAAAUCAAAAGAAAAUAUCUAAAAAGGAAGGUAAAAUAAAGGUAAAAUAAGAGUAAUAAAAAGGUUAAAAAUAAUUACAGCGUCAAAUCGGAAACUAAAAAAGAUGGAGAUAUCACCGAGCUCGACAGCACUUCGUUCAUUCUGUUGUCAGUUUUCUAAUGCGUUGGGCCAUAAACGUAGCGUCUGUAAACAGAUUUGUAAAAAUAACAUUAUUUCUUUCACGCCAGAUAGUCCAUCAUGUUGCCGCCACCAGUGUCUGUAUCUUUAGGACAUCACCCCCUCUCUGCAAUCUCUCCCAGACUAUAAUGACGUCCUCAUUCAAGGGAAAAGGAAGAAACUCUUCAAAAUUCGAGAUAAAUAAAAAUUUACUAACAAGACAUCCCACCAAAAAGUGAUUUACAAUUUCCAAAACAAUACCGCAUAAUACACACCAGAGGUUCUCUGACCAUCCACUUUUUGUGCAUUAUUAUUCAGGGUUUAUACACAUUUAUAUAUACUGUUUGAGUUCCCCGGCCCCUGCCCACUUUUCCAAAUAGUCAAAUCCUAGCUCCAGCCUAGCACGAAAUUUAAUACCAUCUUCCUAAAGUUAUCGUAUAUAUGAGCUUCUUAACGAAACAUUUCAACCCUUGGGCUUCUCAUAUUUUACAACAUUACCCUUGCACAGUAAUUAUUGCUACAUGCAUGGGCCUUAUAAUUUUUUUUUUUUUUUUUUUUUGUAAUUACAAUGUAUAUCCAUGUAUUGACCAAUGAAUAUUUUAUAUAUCUUGAGACUUGAGAGUUAACAUAUUAAUACUUAAUAUGUAAGAUUAAUAUUUUGAGAAGUCUACAAUACUAUUUUUUGUUUUCUAUUAGAUUGAUAUUAUAAGAGCUAUUCUGGUAUUGUUUGUUUGUUGCACAAAAGUAAAAAAUGAAUUAUUUGUCUCCUAUUAGGAGGUAUAUAUAUUUUGUAUGGUAUAUACAUAUAAUUUGUAAAAGUGGCAUUUUUAAUAUUAUAAUAUAUUCUUUUACUACAAACAUGUAUGCUACAAAGCCCCUUUAAAACUUACGCGUACGUGCAUGAGACAAUCACGUUGGUUUUGUCAGAUGAAUCAUGUGGCAAAUAGUGAGCUCGGUAAAGCUAUCUCAUUGGUUCAGUGUACCUCUUUUUAAGGAGUAACAAUUUGUUCUUUUUUUAUUUAUUUAUUGCACUUCAAGUCCAUUUGGGGCAUGUCCCCAAAAAGAGAUAUUGAAGCGAAUCAAAAAUCAGUUGCUUCAUUUCAAAUCUUAAAAAAAAAAAAAAGGGGGGGGCCAAAGAGAGAGUGAUAAUAAGAUAGAUAUAUUGUGUUAAAAACUGUGCUGUGUUGAGCGUGACUUAAGAAGAAAAAUAGAUAAGCGCAUCAUGUACAACUACCGUCCUAUGAAAUUUUUUUUUUACCUUUUUUAAGGUUGCAAAAUCUCUGCAUGAGAUUUGUUAACAGGAGAUCAAAAUCAAAAAGAGAUUCAACCUUGGAAAAUGAAGGAACAAAUUUAGAUAUGAGAUUAAUACAUAACUUUACCUUUAUAAAGAAGUGCGGUUUUUAUUGGUAAAAAUAAUGAGUUAUACAAAAUAUUUAGGCUCCAUUUGAAACUCUGAUACCACGUUUGGUUGAAGAAUAAAGGGGACCUUUGUUCCCCAAUCAACAAUUUUUAAGGGUGGGAACAGAAGCGGGAACAGUUAUUCCUACUCAAAUUUAAAUUUGUAUAUUUUUCAUAUGUAAAUUUGAUCUUAAAUUUAAAAUUUAAAAUUUAAAAUUUUAAAAGUUAAGAUUUUAAAUUUUAAAUUUUAAAUUUUAAAUUUUAAAUUCGAGUUUUAAAAUUUAAAAGUUAAAAUUUUUAAAAAUUUAAAUAUAAAAUUUAAAAAUAUAAAUUCAAAUAUAAUGAGAAAGUAUAAGUAAGAAUUUUUUAUUCAUCUAUCUACUAUUUUUCUUAUUGCAUCUUUUCUAUUCAAAUGCUUUUUUUUUAUUUCCAACAACAACCUAAUUUUCAUCCAAAUACAAAAUUAAUUUAGUUCUCGCUUAUACCUAAACCUGUAUCUAUCACUGGAAUAAAUAAUUCUUACUUAUACCAAAACCAAACGAAGCCUCAAGAAAUGCAUUACAUGUAAUGAAAAAAUCCGAAAAAUAUUAUAUUUGUUUUGUGUUGUAAUAUUACAUUCACGUGCUACAAUAAAUCUCAUUUACUCUAAAUUUUUUGCAGUCUCAUUGAAAAGCAAAUAUAUAUAUAUAUAUUAAUACUGUUUUAUCCAAUAAUAUUAAAUAAUUUUCAAUAUCAACUAGAAUCCUUAGAAAUGCUUAGUAAAUUUAGAAGUGCUUAAUAUCGAAGUGUUGUUAAAAGAUAUGCUUAGCGAACUACAACAACUAUGUAUCGAGAAUUUAAAAAAAAAAAAAAGAUUUUUUAUUUUUUAUUUUUAGUAAAAGUGUAUAAUAAGAUAGAUUAUAGACAACUGAAGAUGGUUUAUCUUUUACUACAUCAAAAUGUGAUUGUUUUUUUUUGGAUGAUACGUCCCAAAUGAGGCUUUUCUUGCUUUAUCUUUUUAAUUUAACUCUUUUUUUUUUUUUUUGAGAGAGAGAUAGGUAACAUGCUACCUGGUUCGUUUAUUUCAUUUAGAAAUAAACUUAGCUGGAAAUGUGAAUAAAUUAGGAUUCGAACUUGGGUCUUAGAUAUCAACCACCAAAUUCUUUACCAUUUGCUCUAGGGACGGCGGUUCUGAUUCAUCUUAUUAAUGAAUGAAACAGAUAGCUUAUUAUAUUUUUUUCGGAAAAAAAAAAAAACACCCACACAAAAAACGACAAACUUUAGAGACAUUGGGGGCAAAAUUGUAAAUUCGAAUCAAAAGUGUCACAACCCCUCACAUGCGCAGUUAAUAAAAGUUAGGACUAGGAGAGGAGAGGGGCGCCGUUCAUGAGGCCACAUGGAAGCUCCACACCGUCCAAAACCGAGGUCACUUUUCUAUUUACUUUUUAAAGAAAAAAAAAUUGUUUUCUUUUAUUUAUUUAUUUAACAAAGAAAACAAAGGAGCUAGCAAAAACACUAUUUAAAUAAACACGCAUGGCGGCCCCUUACUAUACAUUACUUUGAAAUUGGUCCUUCUUUUUAAUUAACUUGUUUUAACUUUGGAUUUUUUAAAAUUAAGUAACUUUACCCAAAUAAAUUAGAAAUUUUAUCAAAUUUAUCGAUAAUCUCAUCAAAUCUAAUAUUAUUAAAUUAUUUUAGGGGGAAUAAUUAAAAUUGAUAUAUUUAACAACUAUUAACUAAUUGAGCCAUAAAAAAAAUUUUUAACUUAAAAGAAAGGAUAAACUUCAAAUAUUACUAGUGUGGUUUCGCACUUUCUUACUUUAGUAUUAUGUGGUUUAAAAUGUAUCAGUUUAAUAUCCUGUGGUUUCACUUUUCUCUUUUCGUCAGCUUUUUCGUUAACAUUUUGUUAAAUUAUAUACAAAAUACUUCAAAUAUCCUACCUAAGUUUAUCGAAUAUUCACUUUAAUACCUUUUAGUUUUAACUCUGUCACUGAUUUAACGAAAAAAAUUAGUAAAGGAGAUAAUAAAAAGAGAAAAAUGAAACCACUGUGUACUAAAUUGAUACACUUUAAACCAAAGGGUACUAAAAUAAAAAAGUAUAAAACCACAGGGGGUGGUAUUUGAAGUAUACUUCUCUCCCAACAUUUUUCUUUUGAGAGAUAGAUAGCACGCUACCCGCUUCAUUUAUUUCAUUUAAAAAUAAACUUAGCUGGAAAUGUGAAGCAAUUAGGAUUCGAACUUGGGUCUCGAAUACCAACCAUCAAGCCUUUUGCCACUUGUCGGUAAUAUUACCCUGUAUAUAUUGUCAAUAUGCCGACAGUCUGCCGUAGCUGAUUAAUAUAAAAGAUUUUAAUGGCACUCUAAAAUAUCAUGCUAGAGUAUACCAAUACAUUACUGAAAAGUAAAGAGAAGGGCCUAUUUCAGAAAAAUGCCUAAAGUUGAGGGGUUCUGCGUUCUUUUCUGUCUUUUUUGGCUGUAUCUUUUCUAAUAAGAGUAAAUAAUUAAAGGGGGAGGAUCUCUCGGGAUCACGUGGUCUUAUCGAGCUGUCGCGUUCGCCAGCUCAUGCGCCCGUCCCCGUCCUCUUCGCGCUUACGUACACUGCUCAUGAAUAACAAACCCUAAAGCCAGUCAACGUCCGGUCAACGGUCCAUGAGAAUUAAUUUGGUCACAAGUGAUUUUUUAGAAAACCAUCUCUCUAUCUCCUAGACCGGGUCUAUCACCCCAUCCCUGUACCUGACUCGUCGACAUUGCAUGGCUUAAAUGGCUCAAGAGAGCGUGGCUUCGAGCUUCUCAGCGAGUUCUCAUUAGUAUAAUUUAAUAAAUCGUAAAUGAUUUACGCUACGUUUGAUUUUUAACAGCGAAUUGGUAGAGCGAACUUAGAGGAACCUAUAAAAAAAAGUUCGUCCAUCUUUAAUUUUCAGGGGUUCCUAAAAGAGAACGAAUGAUUAAUUGUCCCCAAAAAAGUACAUGCAGUACUAAACAUAUUUAAGUUUUACAACUGGAUAUAGUGCUAAGACUAGUCCUCACAAGUUUGCUAUUGCAUGUUUAGCGAAAUACUCCAUGAGUACAUAGAACUAUUAAGAAAAGCAUUAUGGUUAAAUCAUUGAUCCCAAUUAUUUUUGGAUGUCACAGUCAAACGUAAAAUUUUAUAUCUACUUUUGCGACAAUAAUUAAAGCCAUCUUAUUUUAUGUUCAUGGCUAGUUUUACUAGAGACGGCUACAACUAUGAGUAAAAACAAUGACUGAACCAGACUCAUUUCUAGGCCAUUAUAACAUAGUAGACCUAGUCUACACAGUAAUUUCUCCUUAUAAAUUUCUUAUAUAUAUAUAUAUAUACACGUGGGCUGCUUUUUAAAGAAAGUUUUUUAAUCUACAUUACUAUGAAUCGUAAACGCUAAUGAACACUAUAAAGCCAACCGACCGUCUCUAGAGUAAGUAGCAAAGGGCUUGGUGGUUGGUACCCGAGACCCAAGUUCGAAUCCUAAUUGAUUCACAUUUCUAGCUAAGUUUAUUUCUAAAUGAAAUAAACGAAACGGAUAGUUUGCUACCUAUUUCUCAAAAAAAAAAAAAAAAACUCUAUAAGGCCAAUCAGAAGAAGAUGAUGUAUUUAUCACACUUUAAAUAUAUAAAAGCACGAUGCUUACGAAUUUAACUGUGGUUCGAUUCGAUUUAAUCUCCGCCACUUACGGGACAAGAUGCUGGAACUGUUUCAGCUUACAACUCUAUUCCAACAUGUCACAUCUCUCUCUAACUCUAUUCUAAUACGUGUCCCUNCUUACAACUCUAUUCCAACAUGUCACAUCUCUCUCUCUCUCUAUUCCAAUACAUGUCACCUACCUCUCUCUCUCUCUCUCUCUCUCUCUCUAGCUCUAUUUCCAUGCACGUACGCUCCAUUAACAUAGCGUUAGCAGAUCCAGAAGCUUAUAAUAAGUCCCGAAUCUACGCCACGAAAGCUACUACGUACCCAACAAAGUUCUCAAUUUCCUUGUACGUACGUGUAAUUGCAUUCCCCACAAAGGGCCCAAAUCAUGUGCAAAUCCCUGCUACACGAAACAGGAAAACCCACCACCGUGUACGCAUCCCCGUGCGAGACACGUGUCACCGUCUCAGACUCCACUUGUACCAAAAUACAACCCCCCUACGCACGUGUGUGCACUGGCUCCAACAUGAAUCAAUUCUAUUUGUAUUUACUUUCGCAUAGGAGACAUUGUUAUUACUGGGGAGGAGUCGUACAAUUAAUUCUACGAAACAUAUAUCCGAAAUAAUAAUGGAGGCAUUUAAUGAUCGAAAAUGUAAUUACCAAAUCAAGUUUAAGUUAGUAAUCGCAAAAAAAUUAUGGUACAAUUGAUCAAUCAUUAGUGACAAUGCCGCUCUAAUUGAUAAGAAAAGUUCAUUAACAAUUUAACCUGGCCAGCUCGCAUUUAUGGUGAAUCCAAAUGAAUCAUUUAUAUGAAUAUUGCUCUAACCAUAUUUAUAUUGAUUUGGUUUGAGAUUCAAUGUAUGCUGCAGCUCUAUAUCUAAUUGUUUAUUCGAUAAAAUACACUCUAACUAAUUAAGAUCAAUUAUUAUUUGAAUAGUGUACAUUUUGCCUCAAUAGAAGAGACGCUAGUGAGAUCAAUGGUCGUAAUCAGAAGCUCACUUUGAACUGCUCAUUCUACGUACUCUAAUAAUUUUAGAGAUAAUCCGAUAUGGAAUAAAAAUUAGCUAUAGAUUUUGCCUAAAACAGGAUGAAUGAUCAUAUUGGAUCUUUAAACAUCAUUAAUUAAUUGUUUUAACAAAUUAUUAACUGGCAUUAAUUGAUCCAUAAGCCACGCACAUCUGAAUAUUACUACAACACAUAAUUAAUUUGCACCGACACCUCACUCUUUCCUGUGUUUGGGGACCACUGUGCACACGCUGAGUUGAUCCAAUCCAAUUUGACUCCUCUUCCUCUACAUGAUUUUAAUCCACAUUUAUCCAGCACACUGUGACGCACACAAGCUAUAUUCAAUGUUACGAUAUUUAAUAAACAAAUGCAUACAUAUUAUUAGUAACAAUAUACGACAGAUCUAGAUGCCCCGGCACAGUCGUAAGGCGUUAUUGCCUGCACCCGGUGCCAUGCACCACUGCUCAUUCUACGAUUCGGCGGUUCUGCCAUCUUUUCAUCAUUUUGAAAUUCAAUCGUGUAAUUUAGGCUAAAGUUUGGGAAAUUGAAUACGCGCGUGCUCCGAUACAGGCUUCUUGGGGGCCGGAUUUAAUUAACAGCAUAUAUGGAUCCUUAAAUUCAAUGGCAGAUCUAAGUAGAAGCAUUAGAAUGUAAUAAUUUGGUUAAGCGUGGGGAUCUGCGGGGCUCAACGUACACAAUUACAAUGACAAGAAAUAUUUUUCUGAAGCUUUUUGUUACAAUUGAUUUUCGUCGAAAUUUGUGACAGCAUAUAUAUCGUUUGUGGCUAAUUAACAAUCACCACUGCAAUAGAGGACCCCAAUGAUAGGAUAAAAAGAUGGCUCAGUUGUAUGGAUGCACCAGGUCCAGUGAAUUGUUCCCGCUACUCAAACCCACACUCAACCACUACAUGCCAUGCAUCUCUCACCACCCUUUUUAAUCCUCCUCUCACCUCCUCUCCCCCUUCUUUAUAUAUACACGAACUAACCCCUCCUCGCCAUAGGAAAAAACAAACACACACACACAGAGACACACACACACACACACACACAAGCCCCAUUCAUCCACCAAAGAGGUAGAAUUUAGCGAAUGGCGUGCAUCAACAUGUUCAACCCGGACCACCAGGGCCUGUGCCCGCCGCCGCUGCCGCCGAUCAGCCCGCGAAUUUCCUUCUCCAGUGACUUUGCGGUGGAACCGCCGCCUUCGAACCGGGCGCCGGCAGGGCCGGCCGAUCCGGACUUCGAAUUCUCCGUCGGCAGCCACCCGAUGAUGGCCGCCGACCAGCUCUUCUUCAAGGGCCGGAUCCUCCCCCUCAAGGAGAGCCCGCAAAGCGGAUCCAUGGCUCCGAGGCCGAUGACGACGCUGCGCGAGGAGCUGCAGGCCCACGACGACGACUGCCGGCCCGGCCCCAAGGGCUCCGUCCGCUGGAAGGAGCUCCUCGGGUUCAAGAAGCCGGCCCAUCAUUCCACGCUGUACAAGAAGGGCGGUGCCAGCGUGCCCGAGAAUUAUCCUGCCAAGUACAUCGAGGAGGUCUGUUCUUCUCCUAAAAGCUAAUUUAAUUAAAAGGCCGCUGAUGUACUGGCAUAUAUAUGUGCAUUUUCAAAGUGCUAUUUACUCUGAUGCCUGAAAAGACGCAGACAUGCAUUAUGAUCACUUAAUUUAUAUUGAGUAGUUUAGGUGAUUUACUCUAAUUUCUAAAAUAUUAAUUAAUGCAGGAGGUACCAAGUGAUGGAGGGAUGUGAGAACGAAGGUGCCAUGACAAGAACAUGGCACAUGAUACUCAGUUAAGUUAGCAAUGAAAGGACAAGGCAUAGUAAUGGUGGUAGUGAUGCUUCCUUUUUGUUGUUCAUCAUCUACUUGUUGAUGUUUGUAUGUGGUUGGAGGAAGUGAAUGGGGUGUGUAGGGACUGGAACUAAAGGGAAAGCUCUCUCUCUCUCUCUCUUUCUUUUUUUUUCUUUUUUGGAGUUAAGGAUGCUUGGAUGUUGGUAGAUGGUGGUACUAUUAACUCUCUCUCUCUCUCUCUCUCUCUCUCUCUCUGUAAUGAAGACCAAUUAAUUGUAUUUUUCCCACAGGGUGGAUUUUGUAUUUGAGCUUCUUCCCAUGUGGUUUCUCCUCCUCAUAUAAUUAAUGCAAUAAUGAUAGUAAUAAUUAUACUGGUUGGGGCUGGGAAAUUAAUAUGGUAUGAUAACUCUUCUAUACAGAUGUGUAGAGAGAGAGAGAGAGAGAGAGAGAGAGAGAGAGUACUUUUAUGAGAUCAUCAAUGUUGAAUUGGGCUUUUUGUGGUAGGGAACAGUGCUCCUUUUAUAUUUCAUGGCUGAGACUUGAGAGGUGGGGAAAAGGGAGAGAGACAAAGGGACAGUGUGUGAGGGAGUUUUGUACAUUUUGAUCUUUGGUGUUUCUCAUCAUCAAUGCAAGGGCUCAUUUAUGCUCUACUCAGUUAUUGUCCCUCUCUUUCCUCCUCCUCUCCACUCCUCUCCGAAAAGGACAAAUAAAACGAUCAAUCCAAAGCUUUUUUUUUCUUAAAAAAAAAAAGAAAAAAUGAUGAUAAUGUGAAUUCAAAAUGUAAAACUUUCACCUCCUUUUACGGGAUUUACGGAAACUUCGGCUUAGUGGCUAUACAUUUUGCACUAGAAACUAGCUACCACUUCUUUUACUCUACAUUAAUUAGGUUUAAUUAGGGUCUUUUUAUAUGAUGACCAUCCUAAUUUUAGGUUGUCUUUUGAGAGCAAUAAAUUUUGUUAAAGGACAACAAAUUUGUUUAUUAUGCUAUCAGUUAGCUUGCAUAGGACAAGCUUAGUACGCCAUAGGUUGGACUAGUCAAAGUCUUAAUUCAUAUGUGUAUUUAUUUAAGCAACAAGGAACCAAGAAUAAUUUAUUUUAUGGGCCCUAAUUAAUGCCUCAAUACUUAACUAUCAAACAAUCACAUGAACUAUUAUAAAAUCCAUUUUAAAAAAAAAACAAAAAACGAAAAAACUUAUCUAUUGUAACAAUAAACCAUUUGACAAAUAAAAUGUUUCAAGUAGCAACAUCUUUCUAAUCAUGCCCAGCCUUCUAAAAUUUCUGGGAAAAUUUUUUGUAUCAGCCACAAAAAUGUCGUUUGUUCAUCGUAUUUUCACUUAACACAUUAGUACAAAACACUUUUAUAUCUUAUUAUUUUGUAGUUCUUAAUUAUUAAAAUAUAUUAUGUCUGCAAAAAAUAUAAUUGUUAUAUUCAUUUAGUUUACUCAAAACAGUUUCAAGGUAUAUAUCAUUUUAAUAAUGAAAUUCUAAUUUGUUAUAAAAUGUUAGAAAUCAAACUGCUAAAAAAAUUUAGGAACUAUGUAAGGUUUGAGUGAAAUUAAUGUACAAUGCCGAUCGAGCGUACUGAAGUUUGAGUAUUUAUCCUGUUUUUAAGUUUUCUCAAUUUCUCCAAAUCUAUUUUCUGAAAAAUUAUAUCCGAUGUUACUUUGCGAUUUUAGUGUUGCCAAGUAUUUUUCAUUCUUUUUUCUUUCUUUCUUUUUUUUUUUCUUUUGAGGAGGAGAUUAAUUUCCAACAAAAUUUUCAGAAAUUUCAUAAUAAAAUUUAAUUUUUGUGACAAUGGCAUAAUGGAUUGAGAAGGCCCGACAUAUAUAUUUGUUUGUUUCUGAAGUUUUAGUCGAUAUUAUGAUGAGCAGAUGCUAUAAUAUGUGGUCCACUAGAAUUAUUUAAUUAUACUAUGGACAAGUGUACUCCUACCAGUCGAUAUCCUUCUUGAGAUAUUUUUAUUUUUUACUUUUUUUAUUUUUUUAUUUUUUGUGUUCGUGUGUGUGUGCGCGUGUAAUGAGAACUCAACUCUAGUUGCUUUUGAUGGUUUCUGAUAUGAAGAUAAGAAUUACACUAUGAACUAUAAGCUGCCACAUUUAAAUUCAAGUUCGGUAUAAAUGUUCUCAUUUUCUCUCUUGGAUUUCAGAAAACUCAAUUACAAAACUUGUUUGGUGUUUUUCAUGGCAGAAUUCUGAAAAGUUUGGACAAAAAACAGUAAUUAGUCAUUCAGAUCAAAGUAAAAAACAAGUUCUUUGACUUAAAGAACAAAUACAGAAGAGCAGAGAUCUCCAUCGUAGUACUAACAGAUCUUGUACUAUAUCUCCACUACGGUUGCUGAAUCUUGCAAGCGAAGAACAAUGUUUGUGUACGAAAACUUCGUUUCCUAAGCGGCUGAAUUUUCUAUUUCAGUAGGACCCUCUCCGACUGGCCAAUUUGGUUCAGUGUCUGUUUUGCUGAUCCAAGAAAGAAAAAUGCAUGUUGAGUGAAAUUAUCUGUUGUGAUACACUUAGGAUGUUUCUGAUUUUAGAACAGCUUCGGCUUAUUUCGUAUAGCUUCCACAUAACUCAUAGUUUAAGAUGAAUUAUACUAGUUAGCUGCAGAAGUUAGUUAAGCAGGGAAGCAAAUGUUGAUGUAACCAUCUUUGCGAGUAUCUUAUUUUCAGUCAUGUUAAUCUGUGAGCAAGAUUCAGAACUUUGGAUACUUCUGUAUGUCAGUGUCUAAAGGCAACUGGAAUUUUUGGGUUGCUUAAUCUCUUAUUUUUCGUUGCUGAGAGGUACCGAGUGCAAGGCAUAAUUUCAGAGAUGUUGUAUGUGAAUGCAAUUUCAUUAUAAACUCUAGUAUCUUUUGUAGAUAUUUGUUAUUCAAUAUUUACUGUCGCUUCGAACGUAACAUUGGGUAUCCUUUCAUUCUGUCACUUUAAGUGUGUCCUGGAAAUUCCCUUUUCCUUUGAAAUUGCAUUCUGAUUACUUUCAUGUCUUGCUAUUGUUUUUCCGCCUUUUUUUCCUUCCAUUUUUUCUUUUUUUUAACUACACAGCUUUAAGUAUAGCUAUUCUUCGAGUUUUCAUCCGUAUAACAGCAAAUUUUAAGCUCUACAGUACUUGGUUUUUCCAUUCUUAUCUCUGAAAGUGCUUAUUUUCUUUGUGAAACUCAUGGAUUAGGCGUGUCUCAAGUAAUAGGAUCAAAUCUUCUCCCUCUUGUAGCUUGUAACAAAUUAAACAUGAAUGCGUGCCGACUUAACCCAGUGUCUGAUUUUCCUCAUAUAGGAGAUUCGCUCAAUCGGACAAAUAAGGAAAGGAAACUCGUAUAGAGACAAUAUGAUGGCAUUAACAUUGGCGACAACAGGUUCUGAUGAAAAGAAGUAAAGGGUCAAUUUAAAUUGGGAAUGAUGGUAGAUCAAAUACUCUCGAUUGAGUGGCGGUCAAGUAGACACUAAAGACAACUAAUUAAAUCGAAGAGUACGUAAAUGCAAGGAAGGUAUGUACAAGAAGAUUGAUCUAUCGAAUUACUUGUCGAAAGUUAAGGACACAAAGGUAAACAAACUAGUAUGAGGAAGCAUUGUUUAGUCCUAUACCCUUCAUUAAGAUCAACUACCUACGUUGUACAUUUGUAACAAUGAAUUCGGAUUAGCUGCUACAAGUCAUAUGACAGAAGAUCUGCUGUUUCCUUAUUGAUGUAAGUGGUUAAUUUGAUUUCCUGUCAUAAGAAUCAUGACUGUUGCAGCUAAAUUCCUGAUUUGCCAUGACGCAAGCAGUAAAGAUUUUCUGUAGGAUAGAGUUGUUAAUAGUUUUUGUUUAGUGUCCCAAAUAAUGAAUUUUCUAGUCAAUUGAUUGCUUUGAACUCGGAAUUUGCAGGUGUUACAAGGGGUUUCAAGUACAUUUAUAAAAGAAAAGCACAAUGAACACAAGGACCACUGUAGUAUUGCACCUUAAAAUGGACGGCGUAAUCAUCAAUUUAUCCCCCAAAUUGAAAAUUUGUUUUGCAUUAGACAUGAUAACAUCUCAAUUUAACGCGAAGACCACUGUCUGUCUUAUUGUAGGACUAGAGAUUUCUGCUGCUGGAUGGGUAGCCUAAAUAAUGAAGAAAGUGAUAAUUCCUGCGUAAAAUGUAUUAGAUGGUUUUUGCACUGAAAAAUGGAAAAUUAACAAACUUAAAAUGUUAUUUUAUUCCUACUGUAUUCUACAUCGUUUAUCUUGUGCAUUUCAAUUUCCAUUGUUUGUAGAUUUUCAAUAUUAACUUUUAUCGAUUCUGCAGAUUAAAUAAAGUGUUUACGCUGGAAUAUCAGUGCGUCAAAAAAAAGCGCGCUAUUUGAUCAAUUGAAAAAAAAAAAAAAUUCAAUUGUUUGGCAAAUCAUAAUACAAACUCUUGCAUACUUGAGUUCUUUCUGAUGUACAACUAAUUAUAAUAUCACAGAGUAAUUGUAAAUAAACAGUAUAGAAACAUCUUACUUCACGGUGUUUGUCAUGAUCAUAAGGUUCCUUUUCUUUGGAGCCAUGCUCAAUUUUUGUUGAAUCAUAGUCAAUUUAAUUAUUUAGUGAACUCAUUCUUGUGGAAUCACCAAACAGAUUAGUCAGUGGUAAUUAACUAAUAAUUCACCUUAUGAUCAAAUCCAAUAUCCUCUGAUUAUCAUCCACUCUGAACUAAACUCUACUGCACCAUUCCCCCAUGACACUUCUUAAUUUCAGGAACUAAAUGUAACACUCCACCUAACUUCUUACUAAUACAAACUUCCUCUGCAUUAGCUUCGGAAAGAAGCAUGCUUACAUCCUUAACCUCUCAUGCUCCAGUAUGAAGGGCCUCCAUCCGGAAGGAUCCGGUGCAUUGAACAUAUCGUAUUCCUGAAACGGACGGCUCUGAUGAGUAGGUCCAGAUGCAGCAGUGUAUGGCUUCAUGAUUGAAUUCUGACGAGUAGUUGCAAUCAAUGGUUGGUUGUGGAGGGGAUGGGGUGGCUCUUUAGCCAUUAAUUACUCCCACAAAUUGAGUUUAUUGCAGGAGGCCCCAGAUAUGUUAUCUUCACCUGCAGUGCCAACUGUUGCAUAGCUUUUCAAUGCCAAUGUUUGCUACUAUUCUGUGCACAGGGCAUUUAUUAGGAGGAUAUGUACAUUGUGGGGGGUAUUCAAUUAUUUUUGUCCUGAUAAUGCCAAGGCAUAUGUUGGUUCUUUAGCUCAUUCAAGGUGUGUACAGGUUUUUGAGUGGGUCAGGUUAGAUGUUGAUUAUAAACCUUGCAUCAGGUUACUGCUUUCGAGUUUGAUGCGCAGCAUAUAACUAAAUAACAUGUUUUAAUAGUAGAUCUAUUUAUAAUCAUGGCAUACGAUUUGAAGAAGGCAAUCAGGUAACAGUUGCGAAGAUAUCGAGUUCUUCGAUAUCAUGAGAGAGGAAUGAAAAUGAACUGAGUGAGCAAUAAUUGUUAUCUUUAAUAAUAAUCUAGUGACUCUAGUCCACUAUGCCGAACCACAUAAAUCUUCAUGUGCUAAACCCUUCUCUCAUUCGCAUCUUUCUUUCGUGUUGUUAUACCUCGCUGGUGCAUACUAAGGCCCUGUUUGUUUUGUCAAAAUAAGAUAUCCAAUGAUAGUUUAUUCCUAAUAAAAGUUUUCCUGUGUAAUUGAAAGUUAGUUGUUUGGUUUUUGCUCCUUAAAAAAAAAUAGUAUUAAUGAUUUAGUCGGAUGGUAUAUUUCACUUAGGAAGUAAUUCAUCUUAUUUCAAAUGAAUAAUUUGCAAGUGGAAUACAGUAUUUAUUCAAAACAUUCGAUCACUCUCCUUAUCUACUAAAUAUUACAUGCUUCUUGAAUAAAUCAAAAGAAUAUACCAAAUAAAAUAUUCAUACAUCCAAAAAUGGCUUAAGUAAUUUCGAAAUUGCCACCGGUACAUUCUAUGGUCAUUAUUGCAGGAUUUAGUGAAGAUCCUUCGGAUCCGUUGGUUGUCAGAACAAAGUAUCUGGUGAUAUCUUUUGUUCGUUUGGAAUCUUUUCAUGUUUUUUCAGGGGAGUUUAAUGUUUUCCAACUGUGAAGUCCUCAUAAUUCUUAUUCUCAGCAUAGAAGAUCUUCAAGGUGAUUUAUUAUAAAUAUCUUUCAUUUUCACUUACAAGAUAUUCAUGCAUCCAAAUAAGUUCUUAUAUUUAUCAUAUUUAUUCAAUCAGAACACGAAAACAGAGUAUUUGGACAAAUUUCCUUGUUGUUUUUAAGCUGAAAAAUGAGCUCCUUCUACAGGUUAUUUUUAUGUCCAUGGUGGGUGCCUUUUGUUUUACUUAAAACUAAAAAGCAUAUGAAGUGUACACUAAUUCAAUCCGGGAGAAUGGAUCCCAAAAUGCUACAGAUGUGUAGGUGAAGCAUCCUUCUUUUGUGAGACAGGUUAAUUUUGGGUGGACAUGAUCAAACAUGGUACUCAAUUGUGACCACUAAUGAAUCUUAGGAGGAUUAGAUCCCCAAAAGUGAACAGUUAAGAUGCCCUGUAUCUUUGACUUUCUAAGUGAUUUGACAUUUAAGCCCAUCUACAUGAAUACGAAAUCUUUGAUUGAAAAUAUUAUAUAGUAAUUAAGUUUCACCAGUGAUGAUAAUAUAUAACUAAUAAUGUUCUGCAUAAAGCUUACAUAAAAAGGUGGUUAAGAUAUACUUAUUAAAGUGAUGCAAAUUGCCUGUAAAUUCCAAAGCCACAUAUUCCAUUUAGCUGUGCACAGUACUAAUCAAUGAGCUAUAAAUAAUGCUUUCUUGGUUUUCAUAGUCUAAAGCAAUUAAAUUCAUGGAUCUAUGGGCCUCUGAACUUAGACCAAUUUACUUCGCCAUCUGAUCCAAUGUUAUCACUUAUCAGAUUAAUAAGCUUCUCGUUUACCAUUAGGGGGGUCAUUUUGGUCCACGGCUUGUAAUAUUUCGAUAAUAAAUCCUCAAUAUUAUCUAUUGAAAAUAUUCAAAUUAUUAUUUUUCAACUCAAGUUCGUAGCUGUAAAAGGUAUUAAUGAAAUAAUAAAAUCAUUGUAGAUUCGUAGGUGAUACAUGUUCUAAAUUAUUAUAGAUUAGAAAAUAUUGUUAGUUUCAUACUUGAUUUGAAUCAUUGGCAACUCAUUAAUAAGAAUAUACUAGUUCUAACAACAUCGAUCGCAACCUAAGUGACUUGAUAAGUAAAAGCUUGUGAUUCCAAAUAUAAAAUAUAUAGCUUGUGUUGGAUCAAUCAUUAGUUUUAGUGAUUGAUCCAACACAAGCAGAUUUGGUUCUUUCUUUGGAUUGGAUUGAUUUUGCAAUACACUCCAAUUAAAGGAGUUCCUCAGCUUUAUGGCUCGUUGCUGUCACGUGGGCCCAGUUGCUUUAGCUUGCAACAAGAGUUAAGUGUCUCUAGUAAAUAAUUAAAGUACGUACUCAAUAGAAGAAAAUUUGGAACCUUCUAUCUUUUAGUGUGACCCUAAAAAUGAGAUUUCGAUUAUUACAAGUAGAAGUUUCAAUUUCGUAUUUCUAAUUAUAAUGCAUAGAGUAACUACUAAAAAGAUUAUCAAAUAGUGUUUCUUCUAAUCGCACUAUUACAGAAUAUAUCUAAUAGGACGCCAAAAUAAACUUAUAUCUACUUUGGGCAAGCUUAAAAGUAAUUUUUUUUUCAUGUGAAAUUUAUACUUCCAUCUUCCUGACUCAAUAUGUAACAUGUUGGCAAAAGUUAUAAGAGAACAAAAAAAAAACAAUGUGUGCCAAAAAUUCCACAUAUCAUAGCAGCAAAAUCCCUCUAGAUUAUAGUAAUAAAAAAAAAGGAAAAUGAAGAAUUAAUUCUUUAAACUUAAUUGAAGUUACAACAUAUUUUUCAUAGCCUUUUUUUUUUUGCUUUUUUGAGUUGAUGUUCUUCACAGUUUCCAUUAACUAUGAAACUCCGAGAAAAAAUAAAGUAUAUAUGUCUCUGCAAAACGUAAAUGAAACUUGGAAAUACAAAACUCAUUCUGCACACCGUUUAAUUAAUUCACACUUAAUUGUUAACAAUUAUACCACAUGAUAUAAAUCUCCCGAAUUUCUACACACCAAAACAAAUCCCCAGUAAACUCCGAUCUCCUCAUCACCGUAAUUGGCAUUUGAAUUGCCGCAGCUGCAAUUCGGUCGUAAAUCGAAGUACCAAAAUUUGGAACGAAAAUAUCUUCAAAAAAAAAAAAAUUAAGUAUACAUUUAGAAUACGAGAACAAUAUAUAUUCGAUUUACGACCGAGCUGUAAUUACGUCAAUCCAAAACACCUGCAUAUAUGUAUAAAUAUAAAUAAAUAUAUGUAUAUUUUUUUUAUUUUUAAUUUCUCAUGCUUUUUUUGCGGCGGCGAUGGAGUUCUUACAGUGGGCGAUGGCGGCCUGGAUGGCGCUCUGGAGCUCCUCCAUGGUGCUCUCGUCGGACGACGACAUGUUCAGCGACGUGGCUGAGAGGUGGCCGCUGUUGGUGGGCGACGUCCGCAUCGACGCGGGCGCCGAGAGCUGGCCGCCGGGGCGCCUCUUCUUGCGCCACGAGUGCUCCUUGUCCCUCGGGUUCAGGUGCCCGGAGAAGGAGUGCGGGCGCUGCCCGCGGCGCAGGUCGCGCCUCCGGUCCUUGUCCCCGGACAUGAACACGCGUAUGGGCUCCACCAUGCACUUCCUCAGCAGCCGGCCCACGUCGAACACCUUGUGUUUCCUGUCCUUCUUGCUUUUGUCCGCCUCCUCCUCGCCCAGCUUCUUCGGCUUGCCGAGGCCGAACAAGGAGGACAGGGACUUGGGCUUGGAGGGCUUCUCUUUGUUGUCGACGGCGUCGACGUUGUUGUUGUGGGUUGUUGUCGUCGUCGUCGUCGUUAUUGUUGUAGUAGCCGUUGUAAUUGUAGUGGCAGUGGUGGUGGCGGUGUGGGUGGAGGGGAGGGAGUAUUGGAGGGGGAGGAGGUGGCCGUGGAGGAAGAUGUCGUCGGCGGGGAAUAAGUCGAGGGAUGCGGUGGUGGCGGCGGAGAGAGGAGGAGGAGGAGGAGGAGGAGGAGGAGAAGGAGGUGAGGGGAUGAGGGAGAUGGUGAAGGAGAAGUCGUGGGAGGGGGAGGUGGUGGAGGAAGGGGGAGGGGGUGGAGGGGGGAGGCGCUCGGGUUUUGUGUUGUGGUUGUGGUUGUGGUGGUCUCUUCUUUCUCUCUCCCUNAUAUCGGAUGAUCUAGUUAGAGUAUUAUUUUUAAUCAAGCUUAUAAAUUUUAUUUUAUUUUUUGCUUAAUCUAAAUAUCAUGUGUCCACAUCCUUAUGCCAACCACGUACAUUCGUAGUUGUGAGAGAAAGGGAUGAGAGAGAGAGAGAGAGAGAGAGAGAGAGAGAGAUGUAAAGUAAGUGAUUUUAGGUUAGAGGAAUAGAGCCGGGUUUGUGGAGAAGUACUAAUCGUAUCGUAGUAGGAUUUAGCGUGUUGCGUUGCUCGUGUACGUUCCCGAUUAUGAUUCAAGGGACAUUUGAGAGAGAUGUUGCUUUGGAAUGAGAACAAAAUAGGAAGGGGAAGGGAGAGGGAGAGGGAGAGGGAGAGGUACCUGAAUGUGUUCGAGGUUGAUUCCCUCUCUCUUUCUUCUCUGGUGGUGUUGGUGUUGGUGUUGGUGUUGGUGUUGUGUUUUGGGCUCGCGGAGGGGGGUAUAUAUUGCUCUCGUGGUGUGUUACACUAAUCAACAGAUGCAUCAGAGUGUAGGCCAUAAUUUUACUAUAGAGAGAGAGAUAUGGUGGGAGGGAUUUAGUUCAAAUUUAGAGAGAAAUUAAGUACUCUUAAAAAGAAUAAUUUCCUGAUCCCUUGAGUCUAACCCAAUGUAGGCACAAUUAACAAUUGUGCUUAAAAAGAUGAUGACAAAAGAACUCUCCAAAUCCAAUCCCCCCUUGCUUUUAUAUAUUAAUUAAUUGACCCAGUUGUGUUUAAGUGAUCUCAUUGGAGCUAGGAAGAGUUACAAACCAAUUAGUUUCAAGUUCCCAAAAGUCAGCCUAUUGGACUUCAAUUGGAAAAUCAAAUUAUUUUUACUUAAUUAAUUCUCGCUCAAUGCUAAUUAAAAAUGUGCACUCAAUCUCUUUGCUUAUUGACUUUUUGUAUUUACAAGAAACAUUUUGUUUUCCAAACAUAUCCAUGAAUGCUAUCUCUACUGCUCACCAUAUUCAAGGUCUGGCGAAAGAGUGGACCGAUUUUUGCAGAGUAGGGUGACGUUGGUUCUGCUACUCCCUUUGGUUCGGACAAAUGUUUUUGCUUCUUCUUUUUCGCUCUUUUUUUUCUAACCCCAUUCUUCUUCGUUUUGUCUUUCUGAGGCCCUAGCUGCUUCAUUCUAUAUAACUAAGUUCAUUUACCUAAUGAAUGAAAUAGCUAGCCUUUCUCUCUCUCUCAAAAAAAAAAAAGAAACAUUUUUUUUGCUUGCUUGUAAAUUUUGCUUGGUACUAAAUGGUUUUGCACCCAAAGAUUCAUGCAUGGUUUUACUUCCAAAAUUUAAUUAAUUGUUUAAAUUUCCUCAUGUUCAUGCAUGGUUUAUAAUAUUUCCUCAAAUUUAUUUAAUCGCAUACCACCCGAGCCAUUAUCAAGCCAGGUUGGUGAGACAACCGUGGUGGGGUUCUUUCUUUUUUUUUUUUUCCUCUCAUUUUUGCCCCUUUUUUUUCUCGCAUAAAAUCAACGUCAUUGCCUAGUCGACAACUUUUUUAGUUUUUUUCUAUCAAAUUAAUCUCUCUAAUAAAUUUAGUAUAAGAACGUAUUCUGUACUGACGAUUCUGUUAGGUUGUGAAUUUGAUUCGAACUUUCCACAUUAUUGAGAACUACGCAUAAAACUAUUAAUAUAGAAAACACCCAAACGAAAUGCAUGCCAUAUUGCUUUUUUGUUGAUUUUGUGGCGAAAACUUUUUCUCUAGCUUAUUUUUAUUAUUUAUGGUUAUGUUUAAAACUUAUCUAAUUAUUACGAAAUCACAUGAUAAACUUUUUAAUCUAUGCAUCUAAUUAAGACAAGUUAAUUAGUAGCACGAGUGUGUUAAUUAAUUAGCUAAAGAUGAUCUUCUAAAAGAGAAGUUUUAUUAUUUAAUUAUUUGUUUAUUUAAUUUCUUUGAGAAAAAGGGAAAAAAAGAAAUGAACAUGAACUAAAUCUAAGCCGUCCCCACGUCCACAUGGGAACGAGAUAUUCUCCUUCCAUGGUACGACCAUUUUUUUGUUCCUUAGCACAUAAUGCAUGUCCCAUGGUCCCUCCCCUGUUUAAUUAGCUUAAUUCCCAUUAAUUAAUUAAUUAACAAGGUAUAUGUGCUUUUUUAUUAUUUGUUUAAUUACUGAUUAGCUUAUAAUGCGUUCUUGUCUGAUACAAAAUAAGGUGUUUCUCAAAAAACAAAAAAGAGAUAAAAAAAAAAAACACCAAGGUUUAUAUAUAUAUUUUUUCUGUUAUUACCAAAGUGAUUUAUAGCUUGUAAAAAAUAUAAACAAAAAUUGUUUAUAUUGUCUUUUAUAGUUUUUAUUUACUUAUUUUCGUUCUAACAAAAUAUAAUUAACUUUGAUGGUUCUCUCCAAUUUAUUAUUAUUAUGUUUUUAAAAAAUACAUGUUUCUCUAUUUAAUCAGGUAACGCUUAGUAUUUGAUACUACUCCUUUUGGAAAAAAAAAAAGAAAAAAAAGCAUAAAAAAAGACACUUGACACGCAUUUGAAUAUGGACAAAUCCAAAAUCGAAUUAUCACAAGAGCAUAUGUGCUCGUGCGCACGUGCGUGUGAUUGCGAGAGAAAAAGAGAGAAAGCACUUCGGAUAGCUGCUGCAAAGGAAUUUGACAAAAAAAACACUGUUGAAGAAAAUUUUUUUUUUUUUAAAUAAUGAGAUUGUUUAAUUCAACAAAUGUUUACUUUGGAGUUCCUAAUUUUUAUUUUCUGAGUCGAGCGAAAAACUUUCUAGAGGUCUACGGCGGAAGCGCAGGGCUUAAACUUGUAGAGCUAGGAGUGCAAUCAGUCUAAUAUUAUUUGAUAUUUGAUGAAACUAUAUUCGCAUAUAUAUAUAUAUAUAUAUAGAGUAGGGCUAGAAUACUUGUAAAAGUAUCAUGGGGGUGAUACUUUUUAAACACUAAAAAACUAUAGUAAGCCGAUCACUAGCUUCCCCGAGUUUUAGUUAUUAAAAUUACCAGCAUCACUCGGCAAACGUUAAAAUUGCUAUAUCUUUAUAAGUUUAGUACACUUUAAAACUAUCUUUUAAAAAAUAUGAUAUAUUUUGUUCUAAUUAUAGAAACUAGUCUUUAAAAUUACAGGAUAGCAGUGUAAAACAUUUUAAAAAUAAAAAUCGGUAACUAAAACUAAAGGAAACUAGUGUUCCGUUUACUAUAGCUUUUUAGUGUUUUAAAUAAAAGAUCUAGGAAGUUUAUGAGAUCUAGUUCAGAUUACCUCGGCUAACAGCUAAGCUUUUAGGGUUAUAGCUUUUGCUGAAUUUUUAUGCUUCCUGAGACAGGAAAGCCUUCGUAUAGUCGGAGUGAGACUAUCGAAUAACUCGUUAGAUAAAGCAUAUAUAUUAAGAUAAUGUAAUAAAUAUCCAUUGAAACAGAAAUAUAAAUAAAAAUGUUUUAAAAUAACGAUUUCAGAUAGGGUUUAUUGAUCGGAUAAACUCUCAUGUUUUAUAUCAUUCUAUAAAUUACGUUAUAAAAGAGAAUACGUAUCCCGUUAAUUAUGUUCUCCAUUUCACGUCCCUCAAAAGAUAUAAACUCGGAUUUUUUUAACUUCGUUACUUCUAUAUAGUACAUGGAACCCCCCUUUUUUUAAACUUAAUGUGAAAUGAUAUAAAAUGAAAACAUAAUAAAAAUAAACGAUAUAAUCUCAGGCCGAUGAUACGAUAGCUAUCGUACCUCGCGAAGCACGAUGUUUCAACAAAAGCUACUACGCCGAAGGUUUAGCUGCUAGUCGAGGCAAUUUGAACUAGAUGUGAUAACUUUCAUAAACCUUUGAUUUAAAGUCUAAAAAAGCUAUAGUAAACUGAUCACUAGUUUUCUAGAGUUUUAACUGUUAAAAUUACCGGCUACACCACACAAAACUCAAAUUGCCACAUUUUGUUAGGUUUACGCUACUUUUAAAAUAUCUUUUAAGAAAAGUGAUAAAUCUCAUUCUAGUCAUAUAAACUAGAACUUAAAUUUAGAAAAUAGUAGUAAAAAAUACUCUAAAAAUAAAAGUCGGUAAGUUAAAAUCUGAUGAACAAACUAUCCAUUUACUAUAGCUUUUUAAUACUUUAAAUUAAAGAUUUAUGAAAGUUAUCAUAUCUAGUUCAGAUUACCUCGGCUAGCAGCUAAACUUUCGGCGUAGUAGCUUUUGUUAAACCAUCGUACCUCGGGAGGCACGAUGGCUAUCAUAUCAUUGGAUCAAUAUAUAUAUAUAUAUAUAUAUAUAUAUAUAUAUAUCUCACUCCGAUGAUACGAUAAUCUUCGUGCCUCGGAAGGCAUGAAGGUCGAGCAAAAGCUACAACGCUAAAAGCUUAGCAGCUAGCCGAGACAAUUUGAACUAGAUCUCAUAAACUUCAUGGAUCUUUUAUUUAAAAUACUAAAAUGCUAUAGUAAACGGAUCACUUGCUUCCCCGAGUUUUAGUUGCCGACUUUUAUUUAUAGAAUGUUUUACAUUAUUAUACUGUAAUUUUAAAAUUUAGUUUUUAUAACUAGAACAAAAUAUAUCAUAUUUUUUAAAAGAUAGUUUUAAAGUGCACUAAACCUAUAUAGAUGUGGCAAUUUGAACGUUUGCCGAGUGAUGCCGGUAACUUUAAACAACUAAAACUCGGGUAAAUUAGCGAUCCGUUUACUAUAGUUUUUUAUUAUUUUAAAUAAAAGACCCAUGAGAUUUAUGAGAUCUAGUUCAAAUUGCCUUGGCUAGCUGCUAAGCUUUCAGCGUUCUAGCUUUUGCUCUACCUUCGUGCCUUCCGAGGCAUGAAGGCUAUCGUAUCAUCGGAGUGAGAUAUAUAUAUAUAUAUAUAUAUAUAUAUAUAUAUAUAUAUAUCUUAAUCCGAUGAUAUGAUAGAUAUCAUGCCCUCGAGGGCAUGAUAUCACAACAAAAGCUAGAAUCCCGUAAGUUUAGUUGCUAGCUGUGGCAAUUUAUACUAGAUCCCAUAUACUUCAAGAAUCCUUAUUUUAAAAUCAAAAAAAGUUAUAGCAAAUGAAUCAUUUAUUUAAUACAGUUUUACCUGCCACCCUUAACUUAUGAGAAAUUUUAAAUUCGUAUCCUAAAAAUUUAAGUUCUAGUUCUUACAAUUAGAAUUAGAUAUAUCAAAUUUCAUAAAAGAUAGUUUUAAACUUCUUUAAAUCUAAGAAGAUGUGGCAAUUUGAGGUUUGAGCAGUAUUAUCGAUAACUUUUAACUGUUAAAACUUUACAAAACUAGUAUUUCAUUUGCUACAGCUUUUUUAUAUUUUAAAAUAAAGAUUUUUGAAAUUUAUCGGAUCUAGUCAAAAUUGCCACACCUAGCAACUAAACUUACGGACUUCUAGCUUUUGUUGUGAUAUCAUGCCCUCGAGGGCAAAUAUCAUCGGCCUGAGAUAUAUAUAUAUAUAUCUCUCUCUCUCUCUCUCUCUCUCUCUCUCUCUCAACUCGAUACUAUGAAAAUAUUCAUAGUGGUAGUACUACGAUAAUUCAAAAUUCGGUAACCUAGAUGAAAAACUAAUAAUUAUCGGGAACCUAAUUUGUGAUAAGGUGGAUGGUGGUGGAUGGUGGUGGAUGGUGGUAGUAGAGUUGGAGUGUAGAGAGGUAGGUUCCCGAUUUUUGUAUGNNNNNNNNNNNNNNNNNNNNNNNNNNNNNNNNNNNNNNNNNNNNNNNNNNNNNNNNNNNNNNNNNNNNNNNNNNNNNNNNNNNNNNNNNNNNNNNNNNNNNNNNNNNNNNNNNNNNNNNNNNNNNNNNNNNNNNNNNNNNNNNNNNNNNNNNNNNNNNNNNNNNNNNNNNNNNNNNNNNNNNNNNNNNNNNNNNNNNNNNNNNNNNNNNNNNNNNNNNNNNNNNNNNNNNNNNNNNNNNNNNNNNNNNNNNNNNNNNNNNNNNNNNNNNNNNNNNNNNNNNNNNNNNNNNNNNNNNNNNNNNNNNNNNNNNNNNNNNNNNNNNNNNNNNNNNNNNNNNNNNNNNNNNNNNNNNNNNNNNNNNNNNNNNNNNNNNNNNNNNNNNNNNNNNNNNNNNNNNNNNNNNNNNNNNNNNNNNNNNNNNNNNNNNNNNNNNNNNNNNNNNNNNNNNNNNNNNNNNNNNNNNNNNNNNNNNNNNNNNNNNNNNNNNNNNNNNNNNNNNNNNNNNNNNNNNNNNNNNNNNNNNNNNNNNNNNNNNNNNNNNNNNNNNNNNNNNNNNNNNNNNNNNNNNNNNNNNNNNNNNNNNNNNNNNNNNNNNNNNNNNNNNNNNNNNNNNNNNNNNNNNNNNNNNNNNNNNNNNNNNNNNNNNNNNNNNNNNNNNNNNNNNNNNNNNNNNNNNNNNNNNNNNNNNNNNNNNNNNNNNNNNNNNNNNNNNNNNNNNNNNNNNNNNNNNNNNNNNNNNNNNNNNNNNNNNNNNNNNNNNNNNNNNNNNNNNNNNNNNNNNNNNNNNNNNNNNNNNNNNNNNNNNNNNNNNNNNNNCCGUACUUUUGAAAGCAUAGGAGCCUAGCUCUAUAUAUAUAUAUAUAUAUAUAUAUAGAUAUAUAUAUAUAUAUAUAUAUAUAUAUAUCUCAGGCCGAUGAUACGAUAGCCAUCGUGCCUCGCGAGGCACGAUGGUUCAACAAAAGUUAAUACGCCGAAGGUUUAGCUGCUAGCCGAGGCAAUCUAAACUAGAUGUGAUAAUUUUCAUAAAUCUUUGAUUUAAAGUCUAAAAAAACUGUAGUAAACUGAUCACUAGGUUUCUAGAGUUUUAACUGUUAAAAUUGCCGGCUACACCACACAAACACUCAAAUUGCCAUAUUUUGUUAGGUUUACGCUACUUUUAAAAUAUCUUUUAAUAAAAGUGAUAAAUCUCAUUCUAGUUAUAUAGACUAGAAGAGAGAGAGAGAGAGAGAGAGAGAGAGAGAGAGAGAGAGAGAGGCUUCUAUACUUUCGAAAGUACGGAAUCUUCCCCACUCGUAAGUUGUUUUCGAUGAUGGAGCAUCCGAUUCGGCGAUCAAUUCCGUUAGACAUGAUCUGCGCUAUUGGAAUUAUUUAUAAACCAAAUUUUAUAAUUUUUUGACUUCAUUUACCUAGUGAAUGAGUAAGCUCAAAAUGAACGGCUAAAAAUAAAAAUCUCAAAAAAAAUAGUGAUAAAAGACUCAAAUUUCAAAUCGAAAGUAUUGUUUUUACUCUUGAUGUUAAAUAAAAUUUUCUAUUAAAGUUUCCUGUAAUUUGAAUUCUUGUACACCGUUGAACUUCAAAACGCACCACAUCGGCCGUUAAAAUAGUCAUUUUUGAGACUCUUUGAUCACUUGAUAAAUGAUGUCAAAAAAAUAUGAAAUUUGGUUUCUAAAUAGUUUUAAUUGUAUAGAUCAUGCCUAACGGAGCCAAUCGCCGAAUGGGAUGCUUCAUCAUAAAAAAUAACUUACAAGUACGAAAGCCUCCGUACUUUCAAAAGAAUAGGAUAUAUAUAUAUAUAUAUAUAUAUAGAGAGAGAGAGAGAGAGAGAGAGAGAGAGAGAGAGUUAAGCUCCUAUGCUUUCGAAAGUACGGAAACCUCUGUACUUGUAAGUUGUUUUCAAUAAUGGGACAUCCGAUUCAGCGAUCGGUUCCGUUAGACAUGAUCUACGCUAUUAGAACUAUCUAGAAACCAAAUUUUAUAAAUUUUUUACUUCGUUUGUCUAGUAAACGAGUAGCCUCAAAAUGAACGGCUGAAAAUUAAAAUCUCAUAAAAAACAGUGAUAAAUGACUCAAAUUUCAAAUCGGAAGUAAUGAUUUUGCUAUUGAUGUUAAGUAGAAUUUUCUAUUAAAUUUUUAUCUAAUUUGGAUAUUUUUACACCGUUGAACUUAAAAACGUGCCAUAUCGACCGUUAAAAUAGUCAUUUUUGAGACCUUUUGAUCGCUUGGUAAAUGAUGUCAAAAAAUUAUAAAAUUUGGUUUCUAAAUAGUUCCAAUAUGGUGGAUUAUAUUUAACGGAGCCGAUCGUCGAAUCGGAUUUCCUAUCAUCGAAAACAACUUACAAGCACGAAAGUUUCCGUACUUUCGAAAGUACAGGAGACUUACUCUAUAUAUAUAUAUAUAUAUAGUAGGGCUCCUGUGCUAUUAGGAGCACAACAGCCCUUGUGCUCCUAAGUUCCUAACCGCUCAUCAAAUUUGAUGGGUGGUUAGGGUGAGAGAGAAAAGAGAAAUUGAAGAGAAAUUUAAGGAGAAGAAAAAUUAAGAAACCCAAUUUCUCUUCAAUUUCUCUUCUUCCUUUCACCCUAACCACCCAUCAAAUUUGAUGGGCGGUCAAGAACUUAGGAGCACAAGGGCUGCUNAGCAUAUAUAUAUAUAUAUAUAGAAUUAUGCUACUAUACUAUCAAUAGUACCAAGCCCUUAGUACUAUUGACUUUUCGGCCGUUGGAUGAAUAGAUGUGCGGUUAGAAUGAUAGUGAUCCCCUAGGGUUGAGUGGGUGGUUGGUUUAAUAGUAUAAUCUAACGGGUGAAAAUAAUCAAAGGGUCGAUCUAACGGUAGAAAAAUCAAUAGUACCAAGGGCUUGGUAUUAUCGAUAGUAUAGUACCUGGACUCUAUAUAUAUAUAUAUAUAGGCCAUGGCUACUAUAUUAUUAUGAGUAUUGGAGCCCUCGUAGAUGUGUCGAAUGCUACUAUAUAUAUAUAUAUAUAUAUAUUGUGAAUUCAGAUGUAGAUGUGUCGAAUGCUAAAUAUUUGUUACUAUAUUUGCUAAAUACGGAUUCAAAUACAAACGGAUUUAUUUUUUCAAUUUCGAAUAUUGAUUGAAUUUAUAUUCUAAUAUUAUUCGUAUAAUAAUAGUGAUUAAUAUGCGCAUAUAAAUAUAAACUAGAAUUGGCAAUAAUAUAACUAAAACUCAAAACAUUUUGUAUUCAAAUUUUUAUAUAUCUAUAUUUUAUUAAAUAAUAUUUAAGAUUUGUUUAACCAAUAGAAAUAUAAUUUUAAUAUAAAACUGAUAAUAAAAUAAACGAAAAUUACAAUAAACCUUCUUAAUUAUUCCCCCCCACAAUAUAAAUAUUAACCUCGUUUUUAUCUGAUCCCCACAAAACCCCAAUUACAUUGCAAAUCGAAAUUUAUAAUUAUAUUUUAAUCUAAAUUUAAAUUUAAAACUACCAUCUAAGUUACACCACCGUAUUUUUUUAUUUUUCCAUAAUAUAUAAAUUUAUAAUAUAUAUUGAUUUUAGGAUAUCCGAAUCGGAAUUCAAAUAUUUUGAUGUAUCCAUUUACGGAUCUGAAUUAAAAAAUAUUAUAAAUAUAGCAUCCCAAUUUGACUUAGACAGUGCUAACCACUUUCACACCUAGUUAGACCCAAAAAUAUACAUGAUUAAUUUGAGUCAACAUUCUUUCUAAUUCUAACUAAGGUUUAAUUUAGCCACUUAUAUAUUUAGGUUUUUUUUUUUUUUUUGUAAUAUUUGUAGAGUACUUUUGGUGUAUUUGUGAUUAAGAUCUUUUAAAGAGAAACAUAUUUUUGAUUAAAUGAAAUCUCUCAUUUGUCUCUACUCAUGGAUGUAAAUUAGUGGCUUGAUCACGUAAUUUACUUGUAAGUUUUACUUUCACCUCCUGUUUUUCAGUUCUCUUCAGUAUAUAAUUUUUGUUCAACAAAUAAGAUUUAUUUUUAGAACUGUCAUAGUAUAUAUCUACUGUAAAUUACACUUCAGCUAUUUUUAGGAGCCACCCUAGCAAAUUUGAACCUAAAGUUGUCCAAAAAACCCAAUAUAUCAUACUCGAUCCGACCCUAUCGAACCCGAACAAAAUCCGAUAAAAAAUGGAUAGUAUACGAGUAAAAAAAAUUAUCUAUUAAAAUUUCGGGUACGGCUCUAGAUAUUUUAUACCCAUAUCCGACUUAAACCCGAUUCGAACCGGACCUUUUAAUUGGUAAGGUUCGGAAGAGUUUCCAAAUCUAGACCCGGAACCGGACUCCGACUCAGUGAAAUAUUUGAUAGUAAAUAAAAAAAAUUAAAGUUGAGGGAUCAAUUUUAAUAGAACUUAUAAAUGAAGGGUCUCUAUAUAUUUUCAUCCUAGUGAAAACUUUAGUCGUUCUAUUUACUCCUUUUUAAAUUUUUUAUUUUACUUAUUUUUUAAAAUUCUGUCUGUUUAUUGCUUGAAUUUUUUUUUUGAACGAAUUUUAUUGGGAUGUGCGCAACUAAUUAGAACGUGAAUUUUUUAUAGUGAGAGGUCUAUGGUUUGUCCAUAAACUAUUUAAUAAAGUUUAUAAAUAAUAUAUGCAUACGAUAAUCCGUAACCGAUCCAUACCUGGUCGUAAGCGGGUAGUCAAUCCAGAUCCGUUCAAAUAGGCCCGAUGACUAUAUUAUUAACUUAAGUAUCCAAUCUCGAACCGGCUCCGAAGUUAAACGGAUAGGAUAUAUUUUUUUUUUCUAUUCAUUUUUUUUAAAGAUAUGGGUAUAUAUAAUAUAUCAACUAUCCAGAUUCGAUCCGGUCUAAGGACACCUUUAUUUGAACCAGAUAAUAAUUAUAUAAACAGAGCCCAAAAAUACUUUAACUGGAAAUAUUAUUUAGUAGUAUUAAGAGCAUCUUCUGAGCCUUACAUCAUGAAUUCCUAGGAUAAGUAGAUAAGAGUAUUCAUGUACACAUGGCUAGGGUUGGUCAAAAUCAGACAAACAGAAACCAGCUCAUUUGGCCCCACACAAGCAUCGAAAAAGCAAACCUAUCUAAGAUUUCCAUUUGGAUUGACCUGUCGCCUAGGUAAAUUGAGCUUUGCCCUUUUUUUUUUCUUUUUCUUUUUUUUUCUUUUUUCAGUUAAGCACUUGUUUGACCUUAUUGUUUAUAUUUAUAUGGGUAUAUCAAAUUUGGAGAUUCUACUCUAACUACAAAAGAUAUAACAUUUGAUGCUAGACCUUCUCAUCUUGAUGUAGAAUGAAGCUGUUAUUAAGAAGUCUUAAUAUGAAUAAAUACCUUUUCAGAACAUGCACUGUAUUCUACAAUAAAGACUUUAUUUAAAGAGUUCUUAUUGGAGCUAUGUGGAUUGACAAACUGUCCCCUAAUAGACUGUGGAUAUGCUGGUAAGCCAUAUAAUAUAUUUCGAUUGUAAAACAAAAAAGAAAAACGCAAGUCUCCUGAAAUUCAUUAUAGAGAAGAGAAACUACCACUCAAAGAAUCAGCAGCCGACUCAAAUAACAAUACAAUAUGUUAACACAAACUAAUCAAAAUUUUUUCUUCAUAGUAUUUAUAUUGUCAUAUAUAUAUAUAUAUAUAUAUAUAUAUAUAUAUAGAGUCCGGCCGGAGUACUAUCGAUAGCACUAAAGAUUUGGUGCUAUCGAAUUUUUCACCGUUAGAUUUAACCCUAUGAUUAUUUUUACCCGUUAGAUUAUACUAUUCAACCAACCACUCACUCAACCCUAGGGGGCCCACAUUAUCCUAACCAUCCAUUUCUCAAUCCAAGAGCUAAAAAAUCAAUAACAUAAGUAGCUUGGUGCUAUUGAUAGUAUUCCAGCCUAAUUCUAUAUAUAUAUAUAUAUAUAUAGACCUAGUCUACUGUAUCAUUAAUAACAUCAAGUCAUUAAUGCUGCUAAGUUUUCAGUCCUUAAAUGGAGGUGAUUAGGAUAAUAGUGAUCUCCUAUCUAGGGUUAGGUGGUUGGUUGAAUAGUAUAGUCUAAUGGACGAAAAUGAUUAAAGUGGUAGAUCUAAUUGUGGAAAACUUGGUAACAUCAAGCAGACACUCAACCCUGGCAGAUCACUAUUAUCCUAACCUCACAUCUCUUCCUCCAAAAAUCAAAAACCUAAUAAUAUAGUAACCUAAUUCUAUAUAGGUAUAAAUAUAUAAAAAGCAGUAGAGGAAAGGGACUCAACAUUUUAUGAGGACCAUUCCUUUUCUGUGGGGGUGUGUACAUUGGCCGGGCAUGUUGGUGGUGCGUGCAUAUCAGAGUCGUUGAGCUGUUACAUGCAACGUCGCGGUUUUGAUUAUUGGCCUCCAUGGCAAGGGAAAAAAAAAAAAAAAAAAAAGUCUAGAAUGCAUUAAUUAUAUUGCUCUAUUUUCAAUUUUCAAUUAAUGAGAUUGUCCUCUUAAAUUCACCCCUCCCAUUAUUAUUAAUAAAAGUAUAUUUUUAUUAUAUUUAUUUUUUAUAAAAAAUAAAUAUAUUUAUUUUUUAUAAAAAAUAAAUAUAAUUGACUUAUUACCCAUAAUAUGGUGUAAGUAUAGUACCGAAGACUUCCUCCAUGGCGGGGCCAUGCUUUUUUAACUCGCAUUUUUAAGGGAUUUAGUUGUCAUAUUCUUCUACGUGUCUCUCUCACCGCUACAAUUUCCUGUCCACCCGCACGUGCAACACAAAUAUUUGAUUUAUUUUCCGUUACAUAUCCUAUUUCGAAAAAAAAAAAAAAAGGUUAUACUCACUGUUAAAUUUGUGAUUAAACAGUAAUAAAUAAAAUAAAAUUACGACAAAAAUAUGUAAAAUCAUAUUUUUCUGUUUUUCAAUAAAAUCAUAUAAUAUUUUUGUCAUCAUAUUGUAAAUGGAGCCUAAACUUGAUUUGGUACAAGUGUUUUUUUUUUUGGAAAAUUGGCUGCAAUAAAAAUAAACUUUGAUAUUCCUCAAAAGUAUGGGGGAUUAAAAAAAAAAAACAAUGAUAUUCAACAAAAAGCUGCAAAAAAAUUUUCUAUACGUCUUCAGAUUCACAAACAGAUGAUACAAUGACGCCGUUUAGUAUCUUAUUAAUUAACCCCAAAAACUCUGGUGAAUAUAAAAGUUUAUAUCAGAUUAAAAUGCGAAAAAGUUACUAAUAUGGUCUGCAUUUAUAUAUAAAAGGCUCUGCUCCGUGUUUUGUUCAUAGACAAGAGGGCAUUCUCACAGUCACUGGACGCAGUACAAUGCCAAAAGAAUCUCAGCAAAUACAACGACAAUGUUAAUCCAGAAGUAUUGUGUAUAACAUGAAAUCAAUUGGCCAGUUGGCUCCGAAUCCAUCCUUGGGUUUAACCCAGAAAAUCGAAAUAACCUCGCCUAACCCUAUCCGGCUUACCUCUACAAGAUGAUUCAUAUACAUGGCAACGAUCCUAGGGAAGUGCCUUAGCUAUCCCAGGGCCUUUCUUUAUAUAAUAAGGCGAUCAAUUCGUACCUGUUAAUGCCUCGUAGAAUCACUUUGAUCAACUAACGUAGCAUCAAUAGAAAGCACAGGGGACUAGCUCUUCUAUCGGCCGGGCAUAAAUACAUGUAUAAAUGACGCCUCCAUACGCUUCUAGCAUAAGCUAAAGUUAGACCAAAAUAUAAUUGGCAUCCCAGAAAAGGAGAAUCGAAUGGAGACCCUCGAAAAAUAUCCUUUUUUUGUCAGCUAUGAAUGUCUACAGGAACUAUGACAAUAACUAGUCACUUGAAGCACUCUUACUAGAUGCGGAAUCUGAGUAAAAAAGAAAAGGCAAAGAGUGAAUAAUUAGUUUGCAAAUAAAAAGGAGAGGAAAAAAAAAAUUGAAAAUGAGCUAGCAACAAUAUUAAACCUCUUGAUCGCUUUUUGCCCUCCAUUGCUUCCUUCUUUUCCUGGCAACUUAGGCAAAGGAAUGGACCGUCCCAGGGUCGCAAUUUGCCAGGCCGUGAUGAAUCGGCAUGCACAGAAAUGCCCUCGCCAGGUUUCAUCUCAAUUUGGCAAAUCGCACAUAUGAAAAGCUUGAACAUGUUCCUAAUUGGAUAUUCUGCUUCUAGCCUGCAGAUAGAGCAAUAUGUGUCAAUCAUUUGGCACUAAAGAAAGCUUUUAUUAUUUAUUUGAAGGGAAACAACAUAUUAGGAAAUGAAGAUUGACAAAUGAAACUUGGCUAACGCCUGUUUGCCCCUUCUGAAGGGCGUAGGGCUGUUUGAGUAAUGUUACUAAAAGCACCAAGCUAAAAUCCCCUCAAAAGCUUCUUCAUAAAGCAGAGUAACAACCUCCAACUUAGAAAUUCCUGCUUUGUGGCCCCAAAAUCUAGUCUCAACUUUCCACCACAGUAGAAGUUUUGUAUUCACCAAGCACUCUAUUAGAGGUGUCCAUAGCCGAAAGCACAAGUAGAAACUAGGACAAACAGGCAGUAAAUAUGAUUAUAGAGACUGCCUACUUUCUAAUAGAGACCAGGUUAAAUGAUGAUAACAGAGAGUACAGCUAUGAAAAAGAUACUAACCGUUGGGAAAGCAUUGCAGAUCCAUCCUCAAAUAUUUCCUCCACCACAUCGGGCUCAGAAUAUUCCCUAUCUACAUUAGAUGAUGACUCGGACGAUUUUCUCCUAAACAUAUUUUUGAACACCCCCAUCCCUUGCUUCUUUGGAGGUGGAACAGUUGGAGUUAUUUUCUCCGGAGGUAAUAUGUCAACUACUAUACAAGUGGUAUCAUCCCUCAGCCCUUUUUCCUGCACAGCUUCCUGCAAAUGAUCAUCUCUACUAUAAUUAAAGGAUUCAAUGAAUGUGGAGCUACCAAUACAUAGCCAAAAUAUAAGGAUAAAGUACGUUGACAAUAUGACUCGCUGCGACAUCUGCUGGCAACCCACGGCAGCAGCUAAGAGCCAUUUCACUGGACAAAGCAUCCCACACGCCAUCGCUUGAUAUGAUAAGCCGACCUCCAGCGUUUGAUAGCUGUAAUAUACAUAUAAAAAUUAUGAUUCACCAGUGCAAUCUCAGUGCAAUAUAUAAUGCAGAAAGAGUGAAAAUCAUAGUAGAUAUCACUCUACAUAUAAAUAGUUGUUGUAAGAGUUGGAUGCGGCUAUCUGCUCAAAAAGAAUUGGAAGUGGGCCAUGUGGCUAGCAUCUGUGAUGCUUAACUAAUGGAUUGAAUAUUCCAUUCAUGGAUAAGGGAUCCAGCUAGCAAUUGGAAGGGGCACUACAUAGAUGACCUCUCAAUUCUAUAUAGUAGCAUAAUAGAUAAACAUAUAAAAAGAGGAAUCGCAAAAUUAAAAGCCACUUAAAAAGCGACCAUUCUCUUCAUCUUCCUGCUCUACCCUCAACCAAAGUCUCUGUCAAAUGUGAGCUGCGUUAUAUACAACACCUUAAAAGACGUGCAUAAAUAUGAAAAAAAUUUCAAAUAUGCAUUGUUGCUACGUGUCAUUUCAAUGAAACAGUCUAGCAAAUAGACUAGGCACUACCAGAGCAAACAGAAGAUAGGAUUAAACAAGCAAAUUUUGACAGCAAUGGAGUGAAUACGUACAAGCAUCGAGCAUCGUUUAAUUGCAUGGUGGAUUAUAAUAUCUAGGCAAACAUGUAGGUCCUGUUAUAUUUAUAGUUAACAGACCUUUACUUGCUUCACAUGCGGAACUGGAACAAUAAAUUCACCAACAUCCAAAUCUCCAAUUGAUCGUGAUAGGCACAAGCCACCUGGCCAACAUCGCAGCGGACCAAUCUGAAAAAUCAGAAAAUAGACACUUCAUAAUUCAGAAAGCUUUCCUAAAAAAAUAAGCCUCAACAUUGCUGCAUAGAUGGAUGACAGCCUACUUAGGGAAAGCAAGAAUAAACAAUGAUCAAGGUGUCAAAGGUUCAAACAAACCUCAGCACCGCCAACAACAUUUAAUCUUCCAACCUCACCUCCACUUGCUAUUAUACGUUCCACCCUGCAGGGCAGCAAAUAUGGGUAAAAUUAGAUACUAAUAUCUGAAGAAACGAAAUCUAAAAAUCUAACAAAAAGUCAAAAGACUCGAAACCUACUCCUCUUCAUUAGCCUCUAGCCGAUGAUCAGCUGACAAAUAGUAAACUGAACCUUCAGCUGAUUCAAGUAUACAACGUGAAUCACCAACCGAUGCAACAGUUACAACCCAUCCGUCUAUUAUGACGAACGUCACGGUUGUCCCUGAAGUGUGAGCUGAAAGAGUCAAUAGUUAAUUUUCCAGAAGAGCAGAUCAAGGUAAGUAACAUUGAUCAACAACUAAUCAAAUACUCCACAAGAGUGAACAAGCAAGAACAUAAUGUGACGGUUUAUCAACAGACAUAGUUUCAACCCCUCAGAAAAUCUUAGAGAUUUAAUAACCAGUACUGUCAUGCUAACCAUAAUAAUGGUCACUUUCAAGUUCAAUCCAUAAUUUUAAAAAUAUAGAUAUACAAGAACUUUAAUCUAAAAGUGCAUGUGCACGCUGCAAAAAUGAAACCAUAGGAACCAUGACACCUUUUAGAAGAAACAGGCAUCUACUCAGUACAGAUAUGCACCUUUUGUUUGGAAAUCUUUAUCUGUUUUGACAAAUCCUGCAACCAAAGCUCGUGGAAGUGCAGCUAGCCAUUCAUCCCGGUUAAGAUCUGAAGGAAUGGCACUCACAAUAUUGUUCAGGAGAUUGUCCUUCGCAUAUAAUGCAGCUCCUGUUCCAUUAUGCCCAUCAAAUAGCUAGAAGAAAGGACAAAUUUGAUAAAAAUCAAUUAGAUAGUGCAAAAUUAACGUGACAGAGAUCUUCUGAGUUGAAUAUUUGCUCAUAGCACGCAAGAACUAGUAGGCAUGAAGUGCAAUUAAGCUCUGAGAUCUGGCGUGUGAUCAUAUGCUUAGACAAGAUAGUAACAAUUGCCUUUUUGUUCAAACAAGAGAGAAUCAUGCUACGUGAACAGAAAGAAACAGGAAAUAACAAGUCGAACAACGACAAUUUGUGUGAUGGGCCAACAUAAUGUUGGACAAAAAAUAUAUUGCUAACUAUGAAACAUAUAAUGAGCAAAUUAAUUAAUUACAUUAACAUGUCAUAUGGGGGACCAAAUACUAGAUAAGCAUUAAUUACAUCAAGAAGUACAAAAAUAAAGGGCAAAUAAUUGAUCGCCAUGCCACCAACAACCUAGAUUGUAGAGUAUACUCAAUAAAUGCAUUUCUAAAAUGCAGAAAGAAUAGCUCAAGAUUACAUUAGAUUGUGCCGACCACAUAAAAGGUUUCUCAACAACACUCACUGAGAAAUCAAAUGUCCAUUUGUAAGAGGUGCAGUAUCUGUACGAUUAAUACAUUUACUCCAUGGUAUAAGAUGGAUCAAACAGGUAGCAUUAACAAUGGAAGAUGAUCUUCCUAGAGUUUGUAAAGCCACUAAAAUCGCAUAGUAGCUUUAUUAAAAACAAUUUCUACUAGUUUUAGCACCUACAUUUACCUUUUUCCUUAGAAAAAAUAUUUGCGACUGGAUUCGGCCACCAUAUUACAUUUAAUAUAUAUGAUUAAAAGACAGGUCUACAAAAGAAAAAAAUUACGAAUAAGAUUAAAAAAAUUUUCAAAAAAAAAUAUAUAUAGAACCAACCAAUUCAAACCAUUCAUGUAUCAAAUAAAAAUCCAUGAUAUAUAUAUAUAUAUAUAUAUAUAUAUAUAUAUAUAUAUAUAUAUUAACAGGCAAUGUGAAUUAAGGUCGAGGAUGAAGAACACUUUAUAAAACUGUGACAACAUUUCUAGACGAUUCCUAACACAAUAUAUUCCACAAAACCCUUCAUUCCAUAACUUCUCCGAACAAAUCGCGCUCCCGAUAUACUACUAUGCAAUACACAUCGUUCUUGGCUCGUUAGGAUGUGUUGUGAAGAAGAGAGAGAGAGAGAGAGGAGAGAGAGAGAGAGAGGAGAUGGGGGAUAUACCGCGAAGACGGAGAAGUGGAGAGGCCUCGCGGGCACGCGCUCGCACUCGGUCUUGAGGAGGGUGAAGUCUUCCCCCUUUUGCUCUGGUUCGCCUGGCCGUGCAGUAUGUCCGGCCUCUCGAUCUUCUCGCUCGUCAGCUCCCUCUUCAGCAGCCACGCCAGCGGCACCAUCCGUUCCUCCGCCUUCGCCGCCAUCCCCGCCCCCAUCCUCUCUCUCUCUCUCUCUCUCUCUCUCUCUCUCCCUCCUCUUCUCCUACACUCUCCUCCUCCUCAACAGCAACAACAACAACAAUCUCGUUUCCCUUUCUCUAUUUCUCUCUCGCUCAACGCCUCUCCUCCCCCACAAUCUCCUCCUCUUCCUCAACGACAACAACAACAGCAACAAUGUCGUCUAUUUUGCUCUAGAUCGAAUCAAAAACAAGAAAGAAAAGAAAGAAAAAUCGAGCGGAGAAUCGGCGCUCACGCGCAUUCACCUCCCGGAGCGGAUUCGAGGGAUGGAUCGAUCGAUAAGAUGUUGAGCGAUCGAUCUCUUCACAUGCGGAGGAGGAUUCCACGGAUCGGUUACGUGACAGAGAGAGAGAGAGAGAGAGAGAGACGCGGAAAUGGUGCCACCCCUCCACGCGGAUUCGCCUCCCCCAAUUCGGGAAAUGCUCGGAAGCGAGGGUUAUGGAUCGAUGGGAGAGGAAGAAAAAAGGAAAGAAAGGUAAUUGAAAGGAAACGAAGCGAUUUAUUCUUUUUAGUAAUGCAUUUUUCUUUUUUUCUUUUCUUUUUCCCCCCUUUUUUUUUCCUCGCUUCGCAGAGAGAGAGAGAGAGAGAGAGAGAGAGACGAGGAGAGGAGGAGGCG